Molecule: long non-coding RNA, 63565 nt
Filed under: Musa acuminata (dwarf banana)
Lineage: Eukaryota; Viridiplantae; Streptophyta; Magnoliopsida; Zingiberales; Musaceae
Description: long non-coding RNA (MACU_LNC002411)
Source: RNAcentral
CUUCUUCUUUUUCUUCUUUUUUUCUAUAACCCGGUCUCUUUAUUGAUGACUAAGGGAAGCAAAAGAGCUCAUCUAGCCAUGUCUCAGAGAAACAUGUUGCUAUGUUCAUGACAGUGGGCCAUAGAAAUCAGUUCUAAUGUGUGAUAACCUCAAUUUUAAUGGUCUCAAAGUACAAUACUAAUCAAUAUGAUUUACUAGAGAGGGCACUAAUAGAGUGAAAAAAAGGUGGUAGAAAGGAGACCAAUAGAUUUAGAAGGAAUAUCACACAAGGAGAAGAAAAUAACUAUUCACCUGACCUAAGAAAUACGUUUAUUCAUUAAAAGCAUUUGUUUCUCACUCUUCACCUGUAGUUGACUCCCACAUUUGUUUAUUUGAUUUGUGAGCAUGUCCACAUCAUAUUAUAAUUUGAGCACUGUAGACUUUGCCUCUCCACUUUUUUCAACAGUUUUCUUUGUUUCCAGAUUUUCAUCUGAAUUAUGGAUCAUAAUAGUACGAUUGCUUUUUUUCAUUAUAGUAUGACUGCUUAUCUGAUACCCUUUGACACAAUAGAAAGGAAUGUAUUAAUAACAAAAUGACUAAAUGUAAUUCAGAUAACAAAAGAUGCAAAAUAGAGUUAAAGAAAAGUAUAAUUAAGGUUAGAAGGUGGAAGAAACUCUUAUUGAACAGAAAAGUAUAAUUAAGGUUACCUGGCCUGAAGAAGCAUGGUUUCUUUUAUAAAAAAAUUGUCAUAUCUGAUUCAUAAACUCUGGAUGAGUCACAUAUUUUAAUACAUGAUAUCUCAUUCUCAAAAGGACUGUCCUAAAAGGAAAAGCAAACUAUUGAUCUAUUUUGGUAUCUGGAGGUUUCUUUCAGGAGAAGUGUACUGAUUCUCCAAAUCCAGAUUCAACAAAUUUGUACACAUCUGUGACCCCAAGACAUUCUCCAAAUAAGACCCUAAAGAUUAAAAUAGCAUGUCUUUCUUAACUAGAACUGAUUCCAAACUAAAUAAAUCUCUAUCUUGGAUAUUUAACUAUAUAUGAUGAAAAUCUAAGAAAAAUUGGAGAAAAAGUGCUUUACCAACUUAAUUAAAGUCAUCCAUAGUCAUCUAAGACUUCGACUAAAUCCCCAGCUGAAUCAACAUCACUUAUGUGCAUUUUGAUAAAGUAUACUAGCAUACAAAAUGUCUUGAUUAAAGCAUCAUACGUGACCUUCUUACAACUUGUAAUUAGAUAUUUAUUGGUUUUUAGUAGGAAUGUCUGCUUCAUUUGUAAACUUUUUGUUUCUCUGGUCAUCUCCUAGAAAAGAGUCCAAAGCUCUUUAUUUACUAAGAAUAUAGUCAGGUAAAUCUACAUGCAUGUCAUUUACUAACAGACAAUAGAUGAUUCAAUGCUUCGAGCAAUAGUUGGCGAGACAAGCCACUUGUGGGGAAACUUACUGUUAAGAUUUCUCAGGUUGCUAAGCGUCUGGAGAAGUUUAAGACGACUAUAUUCACUCAGAUGAGCAUGCUUGCCAUUAAACACGGAGCAAUAAACUUAGGUCAGGGUUUCCCAAACUUUGAUGGGCCUGAGUUUGUCAAGGAAGCUGCGAUUCAGGCUAUAAAAGAAGGGAAGAAUCAAUAUGCAAGGGGUUAUGGUGUUCCUGAACUUAAUUCGGCCAUUGCAGCCAGGUUCAAGAAAGACACUGGUUUAGAAGUAGAUCCUGAGAAGGAAGUGACUGUGACAUCGGGGUGCACUGAAGCAAUUGCUGCAACCAUGUUGGGGCUGAUAAAUCCUGGUGAUGAGGUGAUAAUUUUUGCCCCAUUUUAUGAUUCGUACGAGGCAACCCUAUCUAUGGCUGGUGCUAAAAUAAAGUCUAUCACUCUUCACCCUCCCGAUUUCGCUGUCCCUGUUGAUGAGCUCAAGUCUGCAAUCACAAAGAACACACGAGCUAUAAUGAUAAACACGCCACACAAUCCUACUGGAAAAAUGUUCAGCAGAGAGGAAUUGGAGCUGAUUGCCUCUCUCUGCAUAGAAAAUGACGUCUUAGUCUUCACAGAUGAGGUUUAUGACAAGUUGGCAUUUGAAGCUGAGCAUAUCUGCAUGGCAUCUCUUCCAGGAAUGUAUGAGAGGACAGUGACCAUGAAUUCUAUUGGGAAGACAUUCUCCUUGACUGGAUGGAAAAUUGGAUGGGCUAUAGCACCACCACAUCUGACAUGGGGUUUCAGGCAGGCACACUCGUUCCUCACGUUUGCCACGUCGACUCCGAUGCAAUGGGCAGCUUCAGUAGCUCUGAAGGCACCUGAUACUUAUUUUGAGGAAUUGAAGAGGGAUUACUUGGUGAAGAAAGAGAUACUUGUGGAGGGAUUAAAAGCUGCAGGUUUCAUAGUGUACCCAUCAAGCGGGACGUACUUUGUUGUGGUGGAUCAUACCCCAUUCGGGUAUGAAAAUGAUGUGGCCUUCUGCGAGUACUUGAUCAGGGAGGUGGGUGUCGUCGCCAUUCCAACCAGUGUAUUCUACCUCGACCCGGAGGAGGGAAAGAAUUUAGUAAGAUUUACCUUCUGUAAGGAUGAGGACACUCUGAGGGCUGCAGUUAAGAGGAUGAAGGAAAGGCUCUACAAGAGAUGAGUUUCUUAUGCUGUGCUUUCAAUGAUGUGCUCAACACUCUGAUUCACCCAGGGUUUUUGGGAAAGGAUAAAUUGGCCUUGUUGCCUGGAUCUUGGGAUUGUUCUCCCUUGCUGUUUCUGAACUGUCCUGUUGAACUGUGAGCUGUUUUAACUUUUCAGAUACGAUGCUUUUCAUUUUAAUCUUUGUCUCCUUGGUUUAGUUCUCUACCUUUCUCUUGCCCAAUCUCAAGGAAAUGUGAUUCUGACAUACAUAGUUGUCCUGAUACAUGAUGCUAACCUACUUUGGCCUAAUUCAUUCACUCAUUUUAGAUGCAAAGUCGUGAUAUUUGAUAUUUGAGCCAUCAUAAGGUUGUGAUUCACAUAUACUAUGUCAUCUUGGUUAUAUUGGGCUUUGAUGUUAUAAUUUGAUCUUGGUUAUGCUGUGUUUUGACGAUGAUAUCAAGCUCUUAAGUAAAAAAAUUAGUCUCGUAUCGGAAGUGGAUAGGAUUAUAAUUCAAGGUUUGAUGAGUGUACUAUUAUUAGUUUCAAUUUAAAUAUUUUAAUUAGUGAUUUAAGUAAAAUUAAGUUGAUGGGUGGUUUAUUAUUAUAUGGACUUGGUGAAGUAUCUAAUAUAUAUGGAUCUACGCAGGUUCAAAUUCUUUGAAACAUGCUUAGAGAAUUUUUUUAUAGUGUCGCAUAAGAUUGUUACGUUUCGAAGUCAAUUAAAUGUCAAUAACGUUUCCAUGCUUUCCUCGACCAUCAAUUAGGAUAACGAUCGACUGAGUCAGCAUCCUGAUUGACAAUACAGGAGCACUAAGUCGGCAUCCUAGCUGGCAUAACGCUAAUUAUCACAUCGGUCGAAUGCUAAUUAUCAUAUCGGUCGAAUGAGAUCAAAAUAUCAGCCACAUGGCUGACAAACACAAGACCAGCGAGCCGGCAUCUUAAUUGACGUAACGCUAAUUAUCAUAUCGGUCGAAUGAGAAUGAAACGUGGGUCAAUUGCAGAGUGACAUAUCUGCUGAGUGAUGAUUAGAUGUGACAGACAUGAUCUAAUGCGGCUGUUUGUCAACUCAAGCGAUGGUCUAAUCAUAAUCCUAAUUUGCCCUUUCUAUAUUUUGUUCUCAAUUCCCUUGUUUUUUUGCGACCUGCCUAUUGAAUUCCUCUUCAAAGGAGCUGCUAAUCUGUGCUUAAAUGGUUCAGUCCGGUAUCAAAUGACACCCAAACCCCCAUCAACACCGCUCAUGCGACAUGAUCUCUCUCUCUCUCUCUCUCUUAGUCAGUCUUCGUGUCCAAUAUCAUCAUUGUUAAUAAUAGCAGCAGAGGCCAGGGCUUGGUCAGUGUCUUUUGCAUCGUCACUGGAGCCAAAAAUGGCGAAUCCAUCGGAUCGAAUCUACUUCUACAUUUCAUUUAUUUACAGCUCAUCCUUACCUCUUUUGCUUACUGCUUUUCUAUCCACAUAUGGAUGAUAGAAGUAUACAACCCAUCUGCUAACAGGCAUCAUACUAUAACCUGCCAUAUAUUUCCUAAUCCCAAGAAGCUUGUUAGUUGAUAUCUAAUCAAAUUUUCACAUAAGACUAUCUCCUAAGAAAUUGCUGUGAGAUUAUGAGAAUAUUGUAUUUUGGCCAUAUGUGCUUAGAACAAUGCUUCAUUAAGGCUUCCUGGAGUCACAAGAUUGGCAUUAACGACCACAUAACAAUCAUUAUGAAUCAACAAAGACAAGAUCCUCAGGAUGCUGCAGUCAUGCAUACAACAUGAACUACGUUGGAGACGCCUGGAAAAUAUCCUAUACUGUCCAAUCUUACCUCUUCUUUGCAAGAGACCAUUCUUUGACAAUACUAGUCUAGAAUUCUCUGGACCAAUUCAAGUGCAUGAGCAUUUACAUACAAAUAACAAAUGGAAACUAAUCAUAGAAAUCGACAACACCAUAAAAUGCCUACCAGAAGCCACAAACUGGUUACUGUGGCUGCCUGGAAGAAGUACAAUGUGAAUUGAAUCCUGAUUAGAAUCCAACUCAGUAGCUUUGCUUGCUAAAAUUUACGGUACUACACAAACACUUCUUUUUUCAACAUCAAUACUAAAAAGAGUCGCUACUGUUUUUUGCUGAUCUUGACUUUUUAUUGGUGACAACUGGCAGCUUGAGGUCUAUGAAACUAGAAGUUAAACAUCUAUAUAUUAAACAUAGCCUUUCAAGAUCUACUGACACACGAAAACGUUAUGUAUCCACAUCUACAUGAAUUUAUAGAGAUGAAACAUUGACAGGCAAAUGGAGUAAGAAACUGAAAACAUUGUAGCAUAAUGCAAGAUGUUAAUCAGACAAGACCUGAAUUACAAAUAUAUGUCAAAAGAUCAGUAAUUGAAUGGGAUCCUGGAUCCCUAGUCAUAUAACGAUGAAGUCUCACUAUUUCUGCAUUGAUAUGCUCUGAAGACUUGAUCUAAGUGUAGCCUGGAAACCUGCCUGAAACCCUUGUGUGUAUGCUGCAUUCUUCAGGCUCAUCUGCAAUGAUUUUGUGAUAUCAAAUUGCAUGCUAAAGACAAAAAAGAUGUAUUACAGGCUUCGCAUCCUAAAUUUUAUUUUCAGGCCUAAAUGACACAAACAUCAUUUAAAGCUCCUGAUGGCUAGUUCUAUAGAUCCAUCAGAUAAUGCAGCAGCUACCAGAUGCAUUUAGAUUUCUAUUGAUUCCUCUUUGUCAGUUUCUUCUGCAAAAAGUUACAACUCUGCUUAUUUUAAUGUUCAUAAUUACUAAAUGUGCAAUAAUUAUUCCAUGAGUGAUUGAAGUAAAUCAAACUGCUUCUGCUAGUACUUUCUGUUUGUUGUCUUGGCUAAGAUGAAAACAAUAGUAAUGACUUUUUCGAAAGGUGAUUGUCACAGUUAAAAGACGGUUGGCUGUUUGAUUAGUAUAAAAUUAACUUUCUUUACUUAAGAAACAUCAAAAUCAACAUAUGUGAUCUGAAACUAGUGAGCAAAAAAGCAGAAAUGGUUUCAGGCACUGGACAAGUUGUCAUUGUCCUAAGACUACCCACUAGUAUGGUUAUCAUGCUUAUCACUUACCAUCAUGUGCUCCAAGUCAGAACUGACACGUCUUUUGACAACAUCUGAAACUGAAGGUGCAAUUUGUGGAUCAUUUAGAUCCUUAGUUAUCUGUGAAGGUGAUUGAUAAUGGAUGUAUCAGAACUUGAUAUGAUAUUCGUAGAUGGAAAAGGCAGAAUGAAAUACACCAAAUUACUUCGGCAACCUCGUUCAGAAAGGCUGUGGAUGUUUUAUCCAUGAUUUCCUUCACGAGUUUCUCAAUAUUGGUAGCUUCAGCCAAUGGAUCUAUUGAGCUUUGAACUUUCUGCAACUUCUCUUUUUGUAAAGCAGCUGGACUUUUGGCUUCUCCUGCAAGUACAAUAUGAAACCAUGCCAGAUUUAGAAGAACAAGGGACCCCAAGAACAAGAAUAUGAAUAUCCACAAACAUGAAAUGUGGAAACUUCACAGUCUUUUUGUGCCUGUGUUAACAUAGAAUUUGCUUACUUUCCAGCACAAGUGAGAUACUUCGACAUAUAAAUGGACUCUUCUACAAUCUAUACAUUUGUGUUGAUAUAUUUAACAGAUUGUGAAUAAAUGAUACCUAUACAAAACUUUUUAGGGCAUGCUGAAUGGUAGCAAUAUUUAGAUAAUUGGGACUUCUAAUUUACUCAAUGUUAUUUGAAGUUCCUCUUGUAAACAAUUUGUCGAUCAUAUGGAUGGUUGUUAUACACUUAUACUUAUUAUGAGACCAUGGAUUUGUUUGUUUAAAUUGUACAUAAGAUAAAAUUACAAUAAAAGGAUAAACAUGUAUCAAUUCCAUGGCAGUUCCUAUUUUCAUGAGAUCACCUGCUGAUAUUUAGGUAUCCUACAUCAUGACCACGGUUUGUAAAUUUGCACUAUCUUGUCACUAUCAUGGUCUAAAACUGCGGAUGGUAAUCAGGCUGUAGAAAAUUAUGAAACCAGAGAAAAUGGCAAUCAAAGAAUAUCAGCUAGAUCUUAACUGAUUUGGCUCAUCAAGGCUGAUUCCAUCCAAUCUGAUCCAACAAUCAAAUUUCACUAGAUUGAAUCCUGAGAUCCAGGUCAAUGACAGUCCCAAAUUCUUAAGCUUUACUAAUAACAACUACAGAAAUGAAGCUGCAACAUUAAAAUACUUAAGAGAGAAUAUAAUUAUCCUUCAAAUUACUUAACUGGUCAAACAACCAUAACUUGGAACAAGUAGACCAAAACAAGUUCACUUGGUUGCAUUUGAAUUUUUGUUUCCUAGGCAAUUUUAUGAUACAUCAGUUGUGAGAAAUCCAGAAGUACAAGGGAAAAAAAGACAGGAACUUUGAACCUUGUAAAAGGUCAUAUGUUAUGCAAAGUCCAAGAUGAAAUUAAAUUACGAAUUGUUUACAGUAAGAAGACAUAAUAUGUAAGUAAAAGUUUCUAUGGAAAAUGUUAUUUAUCACAAAUCAUGAAUUACUAACGGAAGCUCACCAGCAAGCUUUGUUGGCUUCUUCACUGUAAGCCCAUCAUUUCCAGUGGGAAUAGAAGUAACAGCAUUUUCUACUUUAUCUGGAAGAGUGGGAACUCCAGAUGGAGCAAGAGAAGCAAGAUCAGGUGGAUUGUCCUUGCCUACCGCUGGAUUAGCCUACUACAAGAAAUUAUUAUCAUGUACUCCUUUUAAAAGAUAUUAAUAUGAAAUUUCUGCUUUACUAAGCAUGUGUUGAAUCACCUCCAAAUCCACAUAUGAGGGUUGUCUUCCUAUUGAAAUCAGAAACUUGUCCAAGCUGCUUGCACUUAUAGCUGUUCAAGUAAACAUGGAGGUAAUAGCUAUUUUAGCACCAAACAGAAAAUGAUGAUAGCAACUUCUGAUAAAUAACAACUAAAAGGAUAGUCCAGUGCAUGAAGCUCCCAAAGCCAACAUGAGGUUUGUUUAAAAUUUAAAUAACUAAUGGGGAGAAGGAAAAUGUAAGUUGAUUUCUGUAUGUCAUGCAAACAAGGAAAGGAAGAUUCUGCUGCAUCUAGAAAACUAAAACAUAAAAUAAAAAUGUAUUAGUGGUGUUCAUAUUGCAAUAUAUUAAAAAACUCCACUGGAUGAAACACUAUUGCUUAAUAGUUAAAAGAGAAAAUGGCAAGAAGAUUUAAUCAUUUAGCACCGAGCACAUUGUGAUCAUGAAUAUAUCAACAUAUACAUAUACAUACAUACAAUCACAUACAUAUACAUGUGAGCUUGAAAAGCUAUAGCACCAAAGUGAUUCAACAAAUAGGACAUCAUCAACAAUUAAAACCAGACAUGAUAUAAAUUAUAUCUAAUACAAAGCUUAUAGAAACUAGAAAGCUAAUGGAAUUAAAUAAGGAGCUCAAACAAAAUAGAAAUCUAUUUUAUUUACUGAAGUUACUUAUCAUGUGUAAGUAUAUUAGCCCCAAGAUUACCUCUGAUGUUUUGAUGACAACAAAACAUCAACCUAUUUAAUUUGAUCUGAAAUCUCACAAUUUUAGGACCACACUGUGCCAGAUUGCACUUCAUGUUGUUAAGAUCAACCUGAAAGAGAAGCUAAUCAUCUGCUAAGGUGGACUGCAAUAGCUCAUUCCAUGUGUAAUGUCUCUUCUGUGAUGUCAAGUGCAACAUGUCUAGGUGAAUCACAUGGUGCUCAAAUUUAGUCAUUAAACCCCUAACAGUGAUUAUUCGGGGAAGGCUUUGAACUUCAGAGUACUUGUGGGCUUGGAUGACAAAUCUGAAGAACUGGCUAUCCCCUUUCUAAGAUACUCUACUUGUAUAUCUUGAAUGACCCUAUAUAAAGGUUUGUAUUGCUGAGAUGAGAAUAUUAAGAUGAAUAUGUGAUGUUACUAUAAAAGAUAGGAAAAAAUAUUUUUAUUCGUAAACAACUAGGUAUCGCUUCGAUAGAGAAUGAGAUAAGAGAGAAUCGUUUAGGAUGGUAUAGGCAUAUGCUUAGAAGACUUAUAGAUACAGUAAUUAAAAAAAGUAAAAUGAUUAACAUUAGUGAUAAGAGGAGAGAUAGAAAAAGACUUAAAAAGAUUUUAAUAGAAAUUAUAAAUAAAUAUUUAAAUACUCUAGACUUAACUAAACAUAUUAUUUUUACAAAUAUCAAUAGUGACAAAAGAUUAAUGGUAGUCGACCCCCAAUAGUUGAGACUUACGACUUUGUUAUUGUUGUUGUAAUCACCCUGAACCUUAACUUGCACUUAUUUGAGAAUUUUAUAUCAUAUUCCAAACUCUUAUUUAUUCUAGAAAUUGUAAGGAUUAGCUCUUGAACUUUGAGAAAGAACAAUGGAGUAAAGGCAUGGUCUUUGCCGAUGAAAAAGACAAUUGACCAUAAAUUGCUAGAGACCAGAAUGAGGAUAUCCAAAGAGUGACCAUCCACUGGUUGGGUUGAGCCUUUAUGAAAAUUGGCCAUGCAAUGGCUUAUGCAAUCUCAAUAUAGAACAUAUGUGUAGAGUAUGCAACCAUGUGUCUAACAUUUGAAUGCUGUAAGUAUUAUUGUUAUAGAAGAAAUAGGCCAGGGUAAUGUUAAAAUUAUCUCUCAAACCUUUAUUAAAUUUUUUUUUGUAACAAAAUUCUUCAUGAUGAGCAUAAAUGCCUUCCAAUGUCUAAAUAAAUCCUUAAUUUGACCAAAGAUUAUUACUCUUAAUAAUAUGAACUUGAUUAUAGGUACUUAAUUAAGUGUAUUUUGAAUAAUUAAAAAUUCUUUAAUCUCCAACGUGGCACUAUAUGAAGCCGCCACUAGCAAAUUAUUAUAGCUCUUUAGAAUAUCGAAUAAACACAAGUAUAGAGGAUGAGUCAUAGAAAUACAUAAUGUAGUAGAGUGAUAUGAAAAGGAUGCGGCGAGGAGUUGUUGAUGUCAAAAGCUUGACACUUGUUUUUAAUCUGAAGGGAUCAUUCCAAUGUAGCUGUCAGCAAGAUGGCCUUUUCGUAAAAAUUAAAAUAUCAUUUCCUUUUAUUUGUAGGGGAAAAAACACAAAAAAAAGCUUGCCAUACAUGGACUUGAUCAAUGUCGACACAAAAUAACUAACAACCCAGUGAAGAUCAUAGGCGCGGUCCUCAAAGGAAACUCCACAUAGAAUAGCGGAUCUGGAGGUCAAAUACAUAAAUAUAAUUGAAUCAAAUAAACUAAAGAAAAUAUGUAAAAAGAGUGGCCCAAUGUACGAGGCUCUCGAUAAUGAAGAUUCCAAAGCAGAUCAAUAUAUGGAGUCAUGCCGGGUAAACAGAGAGGUCAUUUCCAUGACUGCAAACUUGGUCAUCCAGACCAUAAAGAAGCAAUCUUAUGGUGGUGCUAAGGGUUGUCCUCUUCUACCCCACUCUAUUUUUCCAGUUACAAAUCCCUUAUAACUAAAACUGAUGAGUUAUUGAGCACUUUAAUAUAUUAGAUUGCCCAGGAAAUUUAUGAGACACUAACUGUUAUGUAGCAAUUGAAAACCUCAAUUGAUCAAGGAUACCCAUUGAAACUGUAACUGCUAAAAGAUGAAACAGCAAAACUCAUUAAUCAGCUUAAGUUAAUGGUGGUACAAAUGAUGUACUAUAAUGCAAAUAAGAUGAAAAGAAAAGAUACUGAAAGAAGAAUAAAUCAAAUAAAAUCUUGGUACUUACAAAGAGUCACUUCAUUUGUGAGUGGGUGGAAAUAGCAGGAUUGUUGAGAUUUGAAUCCUUGAUCCAGCAAUAGUGAGACAUCUCUGGUAAAAAUAGAUAAAUAACUUGCUGAGAACAUCAGCAGACUCGCACAAAAAGAAGAUGGAAGAAAGAUUGCAGCAAUAUUUUCAUUAGAGUACAUUAGACUAUUGCUAUCAUUUCAUAUACAAGAAAACAUAUUAUAACAAAGCAUUCAUCAAAAGAGCUGACAAAUAGAGCAGAAACAAGAAGGGGCCAUUGUUGGUGUACUGCAAAAGUUUGAAAUAACCAUUUACCCUCAAAAUUGUAAUAUUUCUGGUAUACUACUAAAGAUUCAAGAUAUCCAAAAUUUUACCCAUAUCAUUAACUACUAUUGACUAAUGUUGGUCUUAACUCAUAUUAAAGCUAAUCAUGGUAUGAAAUUUCGAAUGGUACCGCUUGGUAUGGGUGGUACAUAUCAGUCUGACAGCAUAUCGGUACGUCGACCGCCCGCUACCGGACGGAUCAUGCUACAGGGCUACAGUAAUACACUGUAGCAGUGCUACAGUGCUAUAGUAAGAGGAAAUCGCUCGGUAAGCCCUGGUGUACCGUUCGGUACGCCCUGGUGUACCGUUCGGUACGCCCUGGUGUACCGUUCGGUACGCCCUGGUGUACCGUUCGGUACGCCCUGGUGUACCGCUCGGUACACUGGUAGCAUACCGUAUCGAGCCAACCUCGAAACAUCGGUACGGUACGGUAUUGCAUACCUUGAAGCUAACUACAUGUUUGGUUUACUAAUGACUGUUGCCGAAAGACCAAAUCACUUCUAACCUGUAUGCCUAAUUCUCUAUGAUGUGUGAAGGAGGUAAAUCGAAAGUCAUAGAAGAGCCUCUCUAACGAAAGAGAAGGGAACUGAUUGGAAAAAGAUGCCUCAAACAACUUUUCUGUCAAGCAUUCUUUCACUUUUGCCCUAAGGUUAGCUGAGUGGUCCAUGUCAAGGUUUGCCACAUCCUUAACAUAAUUCUUUAGGUUUUCCAUGAUCUCAUCUGUGGUUAACUCAAAAAAUCAUUGGUAACUAGAUCUUCUAGCAACAGAGGCCCAUGGUCUGCCAUAAAUAAAAUCACUCCCUUGCUCUGAGGGGUGAGAACAAAGGGGGAGAUGUCACGUCCCUCCAAGGUGCAGCAACACCAGGAGACUGAGAAGUGAGAACAUUCAAUCAGGGAGGAGAUAUGGUUAGAAGGGGGCUGCACCUGAACCUCCAACUUCCCCACUCAUAAAGUGCUCAGAGUUCUCUCUUCAAUGCCAGCCCAAAAGAGAGUAAAAUUUCCAACUCUAAAAUGUUACUCUCAACUCUGAGGUCUGAAUUAACAAAACCAUAUUGACAUACAAUUUGCUGUAAAAUAGUAUUAAUAACAAACUCGAGGUUUAUAGAAAAUUAAGAUUAAAAGAUCAAUUUACAUUUUGCUUAUAAACAAGAAUUGUCAAUAAUAAAUUAGUAAUCAAUACCUUGCAGAAUCAUUAAUUAGUGCAAGUGGUGUUACACAUCCUAGUGGUACCUGGAAAAGCAGCAAAAAACAAGUUACAUUAAUUUCAAAAGGCAAACAUCACCAUAUAUAGAGGGCAUGAAAUUGAAACUGUCAGGCAAACAACUUUUUGAAAGAUGGCAAAUGAAAACAUUCAUCAUUAAACUCUAAAUUUCUACAACUAGCCAUCACAUAACAUCAACAAGUUCAUCUCACAGCGUAAAUCAAAUAAGCCAAUGAAGACAAUCCUUAUAAAUACUAGAAUUACAUAUCUACAAUUAUAUGAUUACUAUAACAACAGAAAAAGAAAAGGGAACACAAAAACAGGCAACAAAGGAACAGUCCUUAGAUAGAAACAGCUGUAACUGUCAUAAGGCUCCAAAUUAUUGAAUGAUUUUAGCUUCUGAGUAAAAGCUUUAAAUACUUUCUGACCAUCCAAAGAUACACCGAGUCACCGAUCUUUUUAAAAGGGAUAUUAAGUCAUAGAUAAGUUCACCACUAUAGUGCCAAGAUUUUCUCUUCACAUCAAAAGGUUUAGGGUAAAAGUCCAUUUUAACCCGUAUGGUUUUGGCCACGGAUCACUUAAGCCCUUAUGGUUUACUCGUGUCUAAAAUAACCUCUACAUUUUUAAAAACGUAGCAUACAAACCUCUCCCGUCAAGUCUGAUUUAACAAACGUUAGAGCCAGCUUACGUGGCAUACCGACUCACAAUAAACCAUUAAUAUAAUGACAUGUGUAAUUUAAGUUUAAAAAAUGGUUAAGAUCCAUUUUAGCCCAUGUGGUUUUGGUCAUGGACCACUUAAGCCCUUAUAGUUUAUUCGUGUCUAAAAUAACCUCUAUAUUUUAAAAAAUAUAGCAUAUAAAAUUCUCCCGUCACGUCUGAGUUAACAGGCAUUAUGGUCUGCUUACGUGAUAUACUGACUCAUAAUAAACUAUUAAUAUAAUAACAUGUUUAAUUUAAGUUAAAAAAAAACUGAGACCCCCAUCAAUGGCAGGACGAGGUGUCAUCGUGGAAGCUACCACCACCACCAGCAGCAAGCCACUGCUGUCUAGCAGGGCGUCGUAUGCACGUAGCCUCUCCCGUGUUGACGAUGAGUUUAGAAGCUUCCGGUCCUACCUUAGGUGGAUGAGCGUCGACCAGUUCGACGCAAGGCACGCUGUGGUCUCUUGGGUGUCUUUGUCCUCACCGCCUCGCACUUUGUCUUCUCCCGCACCCCCACCCGCCGCGCUACGACGUGGUGGUCCAACUCUCCCUUACCUCCGCCUCCGGCCUCUCCUACCUUUGCCUUUCCGCCUUUAUCUGUCGCUACGACCUCCGUCACGUCCUCUUUCUCGACAAAAUAAACCUUAACUAUUUUUUAAAUUUAAAUUACACGUAUCAUUAUAUUAAUAAUUUAUUAUGAGUUAGCAUGUCAUGUAAGCAGACUCUAACGUCUGUUAACUUAGACUUGAUGGGAAGAGCUUAUAUACUACGUUUUUGAAAAUAUAGGGAUUAUUUUAUACACGAGUAAACCAUAAAGACUUAAGUGGUCCAUAUCCAAAACCAUAAGGGCUAAAAUGGACUUUAACCAUUUUUUAAAAUUAAAUUACAUGUAUCAUUAUAUUAAUGAUUUAUUGUGAGUUAGUAUGCCACGUAAGUAGACUCUAACGUCUGUUAACUCAAACUUGACAGGAGAGGCUUAUAUGCUAUAUUUUUUAAAAUGUAGAGGUUACUUUAGACACGAGUAAACCAUAAGGGCUUAAAUGAUCAAUAGCCAAAACCACAAGGACUAAAAUGGACCUUAACCCAAAGAUUUAUGUGAUCACCAUAAGCUUGUUAGAUAUUCAAGAGACUUUAUAAGAUAAUUAUAACUUGAAAUGUUUUGUAAUUACAGUGGCCGACUGCAUGACAUAGAGGCAACCCACCAUUACUAGGUAGAUCUAGCUCUCUUAGUUAUAGGGCUCAAAUAAUUUAAUUAAAGCAAAAGCAUUAUAUUCAUAAUAAAUGUGUAUACACAUCUCACUCAUUCUUUAUGUAUUUAUUGGAUUCAGUGGUAUAGCAACCAUUCAGUUGAAAGAACCAAGGUAAUAUAUCUGAGAUAUGGCCAACAUAUUAAGAAAAAACAGAAAAUCUAAUAAUAAAGGCCAAUAAUAGUAAAACAGACCUGAAGUAUUUCUUGCAAAGCUUCUUCAGCAGCCAUUCGCAAACCUCCUUUUCCAAGGCCGAGUCUUUGGGACAAAACUGAUUGGCACAAAGUAUAUAUACCAUAAAGUUCAUCCAUUAACUCAAAUGCAUCAAUUAAUAUGCAACUGAAUCAUGUAACAUUUGCACCACUGAGUAAGCAUAUGUACCUUUUAAGUCAAUGUUUGUGUUUGCAAGAGCAGAAACAACAUAAUAUCUAUGUUUCUUGUCCUGCAAUGGACAUGCAUAAUGUUAUUUAUGUAGAUAGAAUGUCCAAUUAAUUUUACUGUUGUCAUCUACAUGCUUCUUCAGAAAAGUUUUCCAUUUCAGGCAUUGCAUAUUACCUUUAACAGCAAAUUUUUACUUAAUGCGCCACCCAAAUGUCCAACAUACUUUGCCUAACAAAAGGAAACAAUUGUUCAGGAAUUGUUUUAAUAACAUGUAAAAGAGGACAACUAUUACAUACUGACCUGAGCCUCAACAGUCAAGACAGCAGGAUGAUCAUAGCAAACAAAAUCAAUCUGAAGUUCCUGUAUAAGAGAAGACAUUAGACAAAGAAGUGUUUGUUGGAUAGUAUAAAACCAGAAUCCAUUAAUGAAGCUAGGGUUUGUUUGGUUGCCUAUAACUGGAAGUCUUAUAAGAUAUAUUGUGAAAGUGAUACUUGCAAAGAGCAACUUCCAAAGUGACUCUAGUUCACAAAAAAAAGUAAGAAAAAUCUUUUAUUUUAAUCACUUCAACUGUUUAUUUAUAAUUGUUUAGAUAACUGAUAGAUCAUUGGAAAGUGACUCUAGUUCACAAACAAAAAAAAGUAAGAAACACCUUUUAUUUUAAUCACUUCAACCGUUUAUUUAUAAUUGUUUAGAUAAGUGAUAGAUCAUUGGGUAGCAUACAAGAGCUAGAAAAUCAGCACUCUGAUGAUCGGACAUAGCUAGAAAGUCUAUCACUAGAAUCAACUUGUGGGACAAUCUGACAACUACUACAACAACAAGCUGUAAUGUCCCAACAUGUUAGGGCUACCUAACAAUUACUCUACAAUAAUGAAUGAAAUUAAAUUGAAAAUUCUGCAAGAAGCUUUAAAACAUCCAUAAAUUCAAUGACCCCUUGGCUAAAACCUAAUCCAAACAAAAGUCAACACAAAUCUAAUUCUAACAGACAUGAACAUAUGUGAGCACUAGAAAAUAUAUCAACCUAUACUUUUCACGACUAGGUGGUCUCUAAUGUAAAAAAAAAAUGAUUUUUUUUUUCUAGAAAGUGAGACAAUCAGGACAACAGGAAACUAUGUUUCAUUCAUUUGAUGCACCAUGUUUAUUCAAUAUUUUGGGAGGAGACAAAAACCAUCGUAUUAUCUCGUAAAGCUGAAUGGCAAAUCAGUCAAAAGAUGAGGCCACAAGUUGUGCAAGCGAUCCCCAAACCAUCAUACGAACUUUACAAUUGACAUUUCAACAAGAAGAUAAAAAUAAGCUUGUGACAUUUUGUAGGCAAUCUGAGUUCAAGUUCAGCUAUCCUAUAUGGACUCGCAGGCAAAUUAGGGUUGGACCAACAACCAAUUUGGAACAAAUGUUCUCGAGAAACCGAAAACAUACCUAAGGAGAGUUGUUCCUUUUAAGAUACAAUGAACAAAUGACAUCUGACCAUGUGCACUUAUCAAAAGAUCGAUAUGCUACAACAUCGUUGAAGACAAAACAUUUGGAUGACAUGCAGUGAAAUAAAAUCGGUUUACUCCCUUGACGGCAGGCGGACAUGCGAUGGGUAACACAGCGACGGAAGGGGUAUAGGAGGCAUACCUUUAAGCGAGCAAGAAGCUGAUCCUUGGUAUAACCCAUAUCGAUUUGAGGCGACCGAGGAAGAAGAAGAGGAGAGCCUGCGCUCAGUUGUGAUCCGAUGGCAGACAGACAAUAGACUAGGGCGACCUCGAGCCCACCCAAGAAAUGGCCAAUCUCAUCCGACCCGGUAGGAUGGCGAUGGGUCCGACCCAUCAACACAGAGAUCCGUCAUUCCAGACCCGCAAAGUUAAACGGUUCAGUUGGAUCAUGUUAGAAUCUUCCUAACGGACCACACAUCGAUCCGUUCAAAUCUCGGAUUGAAUCGAUAUUGGGAUGUAAGUUUCAUAUUUCUAUCUAACAAUUAUAUUAAUUUUAAAAAUAAAAAUAUUUAAUGACAUGUAAAAAUAUAGAAGACAAUUUAUUCUUUUAAGAUACAAAAUGCCUAAUCAGUAAAUUGAAUCGAUUGACGGUUUAAUUGUCGAUUUUUACACCCGAUUGAUGAAUCUGGUCUUGACUAAAGAACAUGAUUGUUUUGAUCACGCGAACUCGAAAUUAUUUUUACUGCAUUUUUCUAUCAAAUUGAUCAAUACCAUGAUAGUGAUAGAUGACAGAGUGGUACGUUAGAAAAUUAUUAUGGCACACAGAAAGCAUGGGUUUGUCAGAUGCAAAUAUCAUGAACUUUAAUAUUUUUUUGCACAUUAAUAAUCAUAAUCUUUUUUAUAUUUGCGUAUGAAUUCCGUAAUAUGUUGUGAACAGAGCAGUCUCCAACUCUUGUUUGUUGUCGUUCACAUUGGCCUUUUUAUCUUAUUAUUUUGUCAAUAGGCUAUGAACUGUAAUAAAUAUUUUGACUUUGAUCUAAAAGUAAUAAAAUAUGAGACAAAUCUAAAUGAUUUGAGGUUUCUACUCUUUCGAUUUGUCUCAAAAUUCUUUCUCGAUCAAAAAAAGUUUCUCAAAAUCCAUAAAGUAGAAACAAAAUGAUGCCAAGGCGCUGACAUGAAACACCAGAACAAUGACGACUAAUUACAUUAAAACAAGAAAAGCAAGCAUGUUCAUGAAGUAGAAACCAACUCAAUUCAUCAACUCUCUGUGAAGGCAGGUAGGUGCUGCCAACCAGCUAUAGAUCAUGCACCUUGAGAAGGCUCAUUUUUUCCUACAGGCAAAAGUUUACUUCUACGAUUCAAAACUCUGAUUACCAGGAUGGCAGGAUCACAAAGAAGCAAUCUUAUUACGACAUCCAGUUUCCUCUUCUAAUAAAAUAAGACAUGCAGCUUCCACAAAAAACAAUAUUUAACUUGAAAGGUACGGACGGGAAAAGCAUUCAUCGAGCUAUCAACUGGGUCAAUCGUACAAAAAUUAUCAGAUUCACUAGAUUUAUAUAUAAUACUCAUUGCAUAACACUUGAGGAUUAGUCAAGUGGGGGACAAGGUUAGAAAAAAAAGCUACUUGCUCGCAUCUACAGCCUAUAUAGGUGCCCCAGCCCUUCGGGGAGCACUUACAUUUAAAAGGAAAAGAAAAGAGAUCAGCCGCCUUUGCAGCUAUAAACCUGGUAUGGUUAUCAGACGGUUACCUUAUAUUUACACUUGUUGAGAUUUGCAGAUGCCCCGCAAACCUUCCAUCCCCCUCUUGUAGGGAGUUUUCUACUUCAGCUCACAAAACCUCAGAAGCAGUACAACUGCUUUCGCUGCAAGCUGAACUCCAGAUACCGUUGAUGACCCAGAUAUGAGCAGUAAAACACAUGCUGGAAGAUCCACUUUAUGUUCCUGUAUAUCCACUAUCAUGGCCCGCAUAUAAGUUGGAACACCAAGAAUCCCAGAAAUCCAGUCAGCUUCAUCUCCCAGGGCAUGGAGGUUGCAGCUUUUGCUGCAGAAGUAAUUAGAAUAUAAGAUCAGGAACUCAAUAAAGUACUUGUUUUCAGCUCAAAUUAUGUGGGAACCUUUAAUAAACAACACAAAAGCUUCACUACAAGUGACAUAUUAAAGAAUGUAUGUGACUUCAAAUAUGCUCAUAAAUUUUUACUAGUUUCACGUUGGUUUCAACAGCCUAAUGCAAUUAUCCACCUUUUACAUUCUGGUUUAGGACUGACAUUGAUGGAAUCAAGGGAUAUUUAUCACAUAGUUUUUAUGAUAGUUUUUAGAGUAAAUUAUGUAUUAGAAUGAGGAAAAGAUAUUUAGCAGACUUCUAAAACUAGAAAGAGAAAGUAUUGAGAUAAUAAAAACAAUUAGAUGUGUCAAUGAUGAAUAUCAAAAAUGUGCUUAUUAAUCAUAUAAAGAUCAAGGAAAAUGGAGAUAUUAUUUUAUAAAUUAGUUAAAACAUUCUAUUGAUUACUUAGCUAUAGCGAUAAAUCAUGGUUGUCACGAGUUGGCAUGGAGACGUAAUACAUGCAUGACUUGUCCCAAGUACCUAGGCCGGGCACAUGCCUUGUACAUGGUAUGUUCAUUGUUACAAGGGUCGCAGAUAUCACAUGGCUAAAGAAACCUUGAAGCAGCACAUUAAUUAAAGUCGCAAGAAAAUGACAUGGAAGGGCAAUUAAGUAGACUAAUCUUUUCUAUAAUAUCAAGUUAGUAAUAGUCUUCAAUGGGUUGCAAAGGAAAGAUGGUGUUUCAGGGGCUCACUUGUCAUUAAAGAUUUGAAGAAUUCAUGCAACUUGUUAUCUAUAUAAAAGUAACCUCCAAUUUUGUUUCAGCACAAGCUUCUGCUAGGUAACUGGAGUAAGACCCUAAAUCCUUGUUCUUUAACAAGGACAACUUGUAAUGUGAUUUGUUGUGAUUUGUGCAAUGCUAUCACAGGAGUUCUAUAACAUGCAUGAAUAUGUUCAUGUUGGAAGAAGUGUACAUAGCCAAGGAUGAAAAGUAAUUUCUAAGUUUCAACAACUAAAAUAACAAAAGUGACUGCCACCAACUUACCUUGGUCAAAAAGUAUGCAAACAUAAUAAGGAUGAACCUAGUGAAUGAAACUACUGCUAGCACCGGAUCUAGAGAGAGUAAAUGUCUACAGCCUUCUACCUAAAAAUAGAGAUGCUAUUUCUGUGGCCCAAACCUAGUCAACAAAAAGUAUGCCAAACAUGUAUCUUGUAGACCCUACAUACAUGUGUUGACUGCAGCUCAGAUAACCAUUCUAGAGACUUCAAAUCAAAUUAAAAAUUUAAAAAAUAUGGGCAUCAUAUGUCCCAUCUUGUAAUUAACCCAGAACAAAUAAGUUAAAACCAACAUGUCCACAUGCCUUUGGGAUCAAUUGUCGACAUGUAUUUGUCUGGGUGUAACUAGUGAGCCAAUCUCAUGUAAGCACUACCUCACUGUGAACUUUACAAGUAAACAAAAUAUAGGACCGAACUGUUGGUCAAUGUUCAAGUUCAUGAACUUCGUUUCAUGACAAUUGAAGACACUGAGGGUUGGUUAAACAUUAUAGAAUAAAUCAACGUAUCUAAUGACAUGGAAGGAUAUGUCCUUAAAAUUUAACAGGAAUCAAUAUAAUCUAAGGAUACAAGUCAAAAGGCAUUUAAGAACAUAUUCAAAUGAUAGAAAGCAGUCAAUUUCUUAUGCCAGUUCCAAAGAUGUUCUUUACCAUUAUUCAAAUAACAAGAUAUUAAGUUAGAUUUAUAUUCUGUAGCUAUUCAGAUAAUCUAAGCAUAAAUUUGAAAAAAAACCCAAAAGAAAACCAGUGACUCUGAAAUCACUUCUUUUUAAACAAACUACCAUGCCAAUUAGUUAGCAAAAGUAACUUACAUAACAAAGUAAGUGGAAUAAGUGAUGGCACAGGUGAUGGUGACAAUCUGCCACCAUUUCCAACAUCUUGCACUGGACUGGGAGCAUAGCUAGCUGCAGAUGACAAUGGUGAGUGCUCUGGGUUCCCUUUGGGAGUUGACCCCAUUGCUUCAUGACUUGGAGGACUGGCCAAACCUGGCAAAUGAUUGGAAGAAAGUGGUGGUAAAAGAUGGACUGAUUGACCAUUAUUUGGUGCCAGAGAGGGACAAGGAUAAUGGUUAGGAAAAGGAUCAAUCUUUCUUUGUGAAGGUUCAGGUGCGUUCACAGACCAAGAAUGCGGCUGAAUGCCAUUUUUGGGGGCAGGUGGAUAUGCCAUUGGACUUUCUGAUGGAGAAAUUUGACAAUAUAAACAUGGAGGCUGUUGAUGUUGAUCAUUUGAUGGAGCAGGAGCAAAAGGAGAGAGAGUAGGGUUCGAGGAAGCAGGAGGUACAGGGUAAAGAACAUCAUUAGAUGGAGAUGGAGAUGGAGAAGGAGGAGGAGAUGGACCAGGGGCCAGCGACAAAAUUGAGGGUUUAAGGUAUGAUGACAACUGCACUUGCCUUACUUUUCCAAAAACAGAAUUGUUAAGUCCAAGAUUGUUUGCAUCAGGCCCUGUGAUGACCUGAGCUAGUUGUUUCAUUCUAUCUGGUAAAAGAGUACCACUUCCAACAUCUGACAAAACAGAAGCCUCGACAGUAACUGGUGGUGCCACCGUGGAACCAUCUGCAUUCAUCAGCUUCACAUAUACAUUCUGCAUACAAACAACAUAUUUAAUGCUUUGUUUCACAGUUCAAACAUAGAUUGCAAACAUACGAAAAGCAUAUUGUAACAGGAUGGGCACCUCAUAAGACCUCAAAUUCAGUCCAAACUUAAGUUCACUCAUCAGGCGGUCAAUAUUCUCCAGAAUCUGUUCAAUGGUGUUAUUUAAUUUGAAGACAAAUAGGACUUGUGCUCUGUCCCAAAUAGAAGUCGAUGGCAAUGGUAUAACAGUGAUCCCUCCAGGAAACUUCGAAAGCUCAAAAGCAGAUGGGCGCCCAAAAAUUGAUGAUGUCAAAGAUAUAUUAGUUUGCUGAAGGACCAGCUCUAUCAGAGUCGACCUUAAAAUACUUAGGGCUUGUAAACUUAUUGAAGCAUUUUUGGGGUUAUGAAGAAAGCCAAAUACCACAUACGUAGAGUUUUCUGGAGACAAUGGUUGCAUGGAAAUAAUUGAAACCUGUUGAGAUAAUUCAAUUUCUUAAUCUUCUGAAUAACGAGAAUAAAGUUGAAUAUACAGAAACAAAGUGAAAUCAAACCUUGGUAUUUGGAAUUCCAAUUUCCUCAAAAAUGUCAUACUCCAAUCUUGCAGCAUCAGCAGCAAGUUGUGAAAUUGGUUUUUGCAAAAUGAAGCUUGCCUGGAUUUCAGCUGUAACAAAACAAGAUAAACAUUUAUCUCCAAUAAGUUUCUUGAUAUCCCUUCCGCAUUCAAAUAAUUACAAUUACCAGUUCAUCACAGGGCUAUGCAUGGAUUUGUAUAUCACCUCUUAAGUACAAUUACGUUAUUCAUAUUAGCCGGUACGUAUGAACAUAUCCAUUACUCAAAAUGCUAAAGUUACCACUAAAUUAUGGUUACAGUUUUUGCUUCUACCUGGUAACAUCAGGUUAAGGUUAUACUCUCCUGGUCAGGCAUUAUCCAGUGCAAUAUAUUCCACAUUAACCAACAAAACAUAUACCAUCAUGUAGCAGAAAAUUAAAGUUAUAGAUCAACCAUAAAAUUUGUUGAUUCAAAUAGCUAUAUUUAUUAAUAGAUAUCUCACUUGGAGCCGAUUAAACCAUUCCUCAAACCAUGCCUGCAUUAUUCAGACAGAGAUCUCCAAUAUAGAAGGGCAACAUAAGCAUAUUCAUUCUUAACUCAUGCACUAAUCUAGCAUUCCUAACUCAAGCCUAUUCCAUAUGCAUACCAUGUAACGGCAUACACAGCAUCAUAAGCAUCAAAACACAAUUUCACACGUUUUAUGUCUCAUGUGAACCAUGAUAGGAUAAUAUAAAGUCACUUAGACUUGUACUAAUUUCCCACAACUUAUCACAUAAGCCUUUUAUUAAAUGAGCAUAAUAUAAUUAGGAUAGACUCUUAACAUGUCCAUAUAUUUUUCUACUGAUUAUUUGAAUUAUAUUACGGGAGCGAUCAAGCAAAAAAUAAGCAUAAUUUUUAUUAUGCGACACAAAGAAAACAAAAAGCUAGAGAAGACGCAGUUCAAUCUGCUUCAAAGACCGAAGCCCCUAAAAUCCCAGAUCCAAUAUGUCCAAGAAAAACGCCAACAAGACCCAGAGUGCCCAUCUCAUCACACGAAACAAAACCUAAAUGGCAAAAUACUACCCAUCACCACAAGAUCGACAAAGGAAUCUAGGAAAUGGAGCUCACCACGAAGGCUGUCGGGGUCAUCGGGGACGAAUACGGAUCGACGCGUGCGGAAGGGUGGGAGCCAAAAGAUGACGGGGAGCAGCACGCAAACGCUGAGGGCCAACACGACGAGGCUUCUAGUAGGGCACGCCCAGCGUAUCCCGCCGCCGGCGUCCACUAGAUCGGGCACCUCGACGAGGACUUCCUCCGGCUUCCCCAUUUAGAGGGCAUCGGAAGCCGCCGCACCCACUCGAACAGAGAAGAGCGAUGCGCGUAAUCGCAGAAACAACGAGAAGAGAAGCGGAGACGGAGACGGAGGUGAGGGGAAGUGGGAGCGGAAGAGCAACCACCAGCUGUUCCGAAUAUUUUAUAUUGCUCUCUCGCUUUAACCUUUAUUUGCUCGGCUUUAACGGGUUUGUUCACUGCCAAGCUUCGAAUGACGUAUUUACCCCUUCUAAUUUUUAUAUCUUUUAAAUAUUAUAAUCUUUCACACACAUCUAACAAAAUCAAAUUAAUCAAUACUAGUAAUUAAUUUAUAUUUCUAAAUAUGUAUAUCUUUUUUGUCUCUUCAGAUAUCCGAAUUGAUUAAUAUAUUAUUUCAUAAGUAAUAAGUGCUGUAAUAAUUUUUUAAAAAAUAAAUAAAAUGCAUUUUAAAAAUAUGCUCAUCCUCUAUUUUCUGAAGAAUAUUAAUUAAAAAUAAAUAUAAAAUAAUUUUUAAUAUUUUUAUGAAGAAGAUGUUUUCGUAGAAAUAUUUUAUUGUUAUUUGAUAAUUAGUUAUUCGUUUAUUUUUCACUUUUCCUUCUUCGUUCUUAGCAAAGGUGAUAUAAAAAUAAAAAUCCCAAAAGAUUAGAAUUCCUUCCGUCUCAAAGGAGAGAAGGCAUGUUGGCUUUGAUAAAAUAUAUUUCUGACUUUAAGUAAUACUAUUCGAUUUGAUGGGAUAGAUACUUAAGCUUAAACGAGUUUAUUAUAUUAUCAAGAUCUAAUAUAGUCUAAAUCAAAUUAUGAUAUCUAAUAAUGAUUUUAAGUAUGAUGUGUAAUCUUAGGAUAAUCUUUUCGACAUCAAUCAUAAAGCAAUUUAUUUGUUAUCCUGAUUUGAUAUGAUUGACUAACUGAUAUAUUUAUUUUUUUAAUAUAAAUUAUUAACUUAAAAUAUGUAAACUAAGAUUAAUAGUAAUAUGUCCAUCAAAUUAUAAGUCAAUAUUAGUCUUAACCCAUUUUAAAUUUAAAACUAAUCAAAUUAUUACAUUAAGUUUAUAUUAAUUAUUUUAUUUUUCUCAUAUAAAUUUAAUUUUUAAUUAAUUAAAAUUAUUAUAUAUUAUAUACGAAAAAUUCAACUUUUAAUAUUUUUAUAAUGGAAGUCCUCUCUAAGUACUUAAGUUGCAGUUAAUAAAAAUAUAACUAUCAGAUUAUUUUUAGCAUACUUCCAGUCUAAAACUAAUCAGAUUAAUUUAUAUUAAUUAUUUAUUUAUCCCAAUAUAAGUUUAAUUUUCUAUUAAUUAUAAAAUAAAUUAUCAACUACUAAUUUUUUUAUAAAUAAAUUGAAAUACAAUAUUUGGUGUACUAUAUCUCAUUGAACAAUAACGAGUAUGAAUGAUUAAAAAAUGUUAAUAUAUAACUAACUAUAUUUUCAUUCUAUUACUUAUGUAUUAAAUUGCUACAGAAUACGUACAGCAUAUUUAAUUAUAGAGAUUUCACGUUUUUUAUUUUAAUAUAUAUCUAAAUGGUCUUCUUAAAAUAAAUAAUAUUUGAUUGAAGUACUACAAAUAAAUCAUCGAUCAAUUCAAGCAAACUCCGAUUGGACAUGCUAAUUUAAUAUAAUCGAACAAAAUAAUAUGAAUCGAUGAAAUUAAGCUAAAUCUAAAAGCAUGUUCCUAAUGAACGUCCAUACAAUGAAGUGGUAAGAAAGUCGAAAACGACUGAUAUUAAAAUGAUGUGACUGUUGAUGGUAUAACUCACCAAAGCAUGACAGUACAUUGCAACAAAUAUGCAUGCUAUCAAUGAUGUCAUUGAUGUACCUCCUCGAACAAAUUGAAAUAUGUAGUCCAACUCCCGGCUUAAAACAUGAUUGUGACCCAUCAAUUCAAGACGAGGACGGUUCGAUUAAAUAAUGGAGAAAUAUAAAUGUGAUCGAUCACAUGAUAGAGCAAAUAUAAUUCCAUAUAGUUGUUUUUAAUAUUUUAUCUAUGGUUAAAUGAUAUGCUUUGCAAAGCAUACAAGGGAAGAGAAGAAGAAGAAGAAGAAGAAACCAUAGGUAGGUGGGACUCUGAUAGGAAUCUUGGCCAACCACCGGACCUAUGCUUUGAUUGGAAUUGAAUUGUUGUUGAGUUGUUGAGCUACAUUUAUCUUUUUAUCUUCUUGUAGAGUAAGAAAAUUGCCAAUAAUCAAAUGUGUAUAAUGCAUGACUGUCAUGUUUGUCAUAUUGAGCUUGACAUAUCUUUGCACUCUUCACAUGCAAAGAUGUGGACAGUCCUGUGAACAUAUUCAUUAACUUAAAAUGAUAAAUAUUCUAUAAUAUAAAUUUUAUUUAUUUUUAUAUUUAUUGAUGAUGGUUAUAAUACACUAGAAAAAUAUAAUAGAAAAGAGCAUAAAAUAAAAGGAUUUGUAUGGUAGAGAAUACUAAAUUAGAAGUGUUUUCCUAAUAGUUUAUUGGGGCUAAUUACGUAAUAUCCCAUAUAAUUAUUUAUCUUUAACAUAUCAAUUUUUAUAUUUUUAAAUGUUACAUUUAAGAUCUAUGUAUUUAUGAAAGUAAAAUGUUUAAUUCUAUUUCUUCUCACGCAUCGACUCUAACGUGCGAUAUUUUUGUCAAACAGAAUGGAUGACGUGAGGAGAAACAGAGUUAAAUAUUUUACUUUCAUAAAUAUAAGAAUAUUAAUAUAAUUUAAAAAUAAAAAUUAAGAUAAUUAAUUAUAGAAAAAAAUCUAUAAUUAACCUGAUUUAUUAACACAUCAAAUUACCAUCGUCAUCAUCAUCUUGCCUACGAUAGCGAAUGGUAUCACUGUGGUAGAACACGCAAGCAACUCAUGGUUUUCCAACAAAGAAACGACAGCAGUCUACUUGGUUGUGUUCGUCGGAAACAACCGACGUCCAUUCUCGACAAACCCCCUCCUCGUUCCCAUUCCCACCGCCACCACCUUCCCCUGUUCGAAUCCAAUUCGUUGAAACGAAGAAGAGCAGCAGCGACGACGACGACAGGAGAAUGUCCGCUCGAUGGAUUGUCAUCCUGUGUUCCUGCAGCUUCGGUGUUGGAGUGCUUUUCGCAGACUAGUGUGGUUCUUGUUUUGCUUUUGGUUUAGGUGUCAUGUCAAAGAUUUGAUUUUGAAGCAACUGUGGCGCUGGGUAGUUUUUAGGCCGUCUCGGAUACCAACAAGUUUAGAUGUUGGAACAGUAAUAUUAAAAUAUAAUUUUAAUUAAAUAAGACCUUCGGUAUUGAAAUAAUAAUAUUAAAAUAUUUUUUUGAUUAAAUUAACAAAUAAAUUAAAUUUGUAAAAAUUAAAAUAAAAACAAUUAGAAGAAAUUUUUUAUUAAAUUAGGACUUUAGUGUUGGAGCAAUAAUACUAAAAGAAUCUUUGAUUAAAUCAAAACAUGUUAAAUAUGGAGAAAUUGAAAUAAAAAUUUAAAAAAAAAACCUAAAAAUCAUAUUUUUCAUGGCACUCACUUGCAUGGUGAGAUUACUGUAGCUGAGGUAAAUGGAUAAUUUUAUAAUUAUAAAAUGUGUUAUAAAAUAAAUUAAUUGUAUGUCAUUUCCAAACCUUCACUUAUAUUUCAGUUACCAAAUCUUUUUUAAUAAGUUAAAUUUUUUUUAAAAAUUUUUUAAUAAAAUAUCUAAGGAGAGAGUAAAAGAAUUGAUGAGAAGUCACUCUCAACCAUUGAUAUGGGACUAAAAUCUUUGAACAAUGAAAGGGAAUUUGAGUUUUUUCCCUUUCCAACAAUCCUCAUAAAAAAAAACUCUAAUUCCAUUCAAAUAAAUAACUAAAAUAAAUAAUAAAAUAAAAUAAAAUAAUUACAAAUAAAUAUUGUUAGUGCAUGUCUUGAACUAUAUUCUUUUAAUCGAAACCUCAACUAGCUCACACAUAGUAUGAAAUACAUCUUCACGGGUUAUACGUUAAUAGUCAUACGCGAAUAUCUUGAUUAUUUAUGAGAGAUUCUAAGGAUUGCCCAUAUCCUUAAUCAUAAUUAUCUACAUAGAACACUAAUCACCAUAGGGAUAGGGUUAGAGAUAAACUUUAUAUCUAUAUGCAUUAAAAUACUAAUCAUUAUACUCCUUAGCUAAUCAGUCAGCUUAUUAUUAUCACAUUGAAUCUCUUUCAAGAGAUUGCUUAUUACAAAGGUUGGAUUUAUAUUGUUAGAAGACUCAUUUUAGGCAAAGACUCAUUCCUCUCGAUAACACUAACUAUGUUAUUCCUAUACGUUUGCUUAGGAGUACUAAUCACCAUAGGGAUAGGGUUAGAGAUAAACUUUAUAUCUAUAUGCACUAAAAUACUAAUCAUUAUACUCCUUAGCUAAUCAAUCAGUUUAUUAUUAUCACAUUGAAUCUCCUUCAAGAGAUUGCUUAUCACAAAGGUUAGAUUUAUAUUGUUAGAAGACUCAUUUUAGGCAAAGACUCAUUCCUCUCGAUGAUACUAGAAUCUUAGUCCUAUUUAAGUCUUUAGUAAAAUAAUCAACUAGAUUAUUAUCAUUUUUAAUAAAAAAUAUAAAAAUAGCAUAAUCUAGUCAUUUAAUGGAUUUUUGUCUAAUUUUUAUGUGUAUGCUCAUUUUAAUAUUUAUAAGUUUCUUUUGUAAAAUAUUGAAGUAUAGAAAUUAGAUUUUUAAAAUAUUUUGCUUCAGGACGAGCGGUGUAAGUGCUACACGCUCAAAAACACUUUCGACAAUAAUAGUUUAUUUAGUUGAUUGUCAAAAUAUAAUACUUCCAUCAAGAAAAAAUAUGGAUCCUAUAAAGUCAAGUCAAUAAUAAAAAAUAUCUUUAAAGUAUCUAAAAACUCGUUUAAGAGCAUUUUGAUGACUCAAACUUGGGUUACUAGUAUAUCUAGUAAGUCUGAAUAUAACAUAAGAGAUAUCAGGUCUAGUCAUAUUUGAUAGAUAGAGAUGAGAUCCAAUAAUAUGAGAGUAUAUUUCUUGAUUUACAAGAUUACUAAUAUUUUUAAGAAGAUAAACAUUUGGUUCAUAAAAAGUGAAGAUAGAUGAAGAAUAUAAUGAGAUUGAGAUGAUAUAAAAUUAGAAGAUUUUUGAAUUUCCACUUCUAAGAUAAUAUCAAUUUUAGUAAGAUCUUUCGUAUGAAAGUAAUGAGAUAAGAAUGAUUUAAUUUUUAACUUCUUAUAUAUCUUAUUUUUUUAAAACUCUGUAGAAUUCUAUUUCAUUGUUAAUUAUCGCUUAAAACAAAAGUAUUGGGAGAGCACAUAGCUUCUAAAAUUAGCUUCUAAAAAGGAACUUGGUGUCUCGUGUAAGAGAUAAAAUCAUUAUCUAAGUUAUUUUCAAUCCUAUCUCUCUUAUUUCUUAGAUGUUUAGAUUGAAUAUUAGAUUCUAUAAGAGUUGGGAAAAAAGAAAUACACUCACUUGAGAUAUUUGUAGAUAAUUUGGUCAUAAAAUAAAAUAAAAUAUAUUUUGCAUCUAUAGAUUUAAUUAGAGAGUUAUUUAAGAUUUCAGUUAUUUCAGAAUUUACUAUAGAGGAAGUAUCCUACAAAGAAAACAUCCAGGGACAUAUCUUCUUUUUCUUGGGUUAUGAGAUAUUAACCUUAGCUAAACAAUCUUGUAUUUGAAAGUAACUUAUCUGUGAUUUAUAAUCAUUUCAAAGUUCAUUGGCUUAUGCCUUCUUUUUCUUGUUGCUUCUUUAUGAUUUAUAAUCACAAGAGAGUCUCUCCUUAUCUAUUUUUAUUUUCAAUUCAUUAUAAGUGUACUCACCUCUUUUAUCAUAUCUUAGGGUUUUAAUUUUUUUUCAAGUUGGUUUUCAAUGCCUUAUAUCUUAAAUUUGAUAUAAAUAAAAUUCUUGUUAUUUUUCUAACCUCAUAACUUAUAUCUCCUACUCAUAUUGUGAAGCAAUAAUAUUUUUUCAGAAAAAAAAUUAUUUUUCUAACAUCAUAACUAAUAUAUUGUACCCAUAUUGUGAAGUAAUAAUAUAUAGCAUAUAUGUAUUUUUCUUGUAAUCUAUAAGAAUACAUAGGCUGAACUUAAACUUUGGAGGAAUAAAUAUGAAGCUUGUAAGUUUAAAAGUAUAUAGUUUUGCUUUAUAAAUUAUAAUAAUUUUAAUGAACACACAUUUUUAUGUUAUUGAUUGAAAAAGUUCGUUAAGGUCAAUUUGCGCAAAAGGUAAUGAUCCAUCUAAAAUUCACUCAUCCAUAUGAAAUUUUUUAUAUUUUGAUUUCUUAAAUACUUAUUCGAAAUAUUCAAAAUUAAGAUAAGUAGAUUGUUUAUUUUUUACAAUAACAACAUUAGCAUAUAUAAAAUAAUUUGACAUUAUAGAGGCACCCUCAACGUUGUGCAAAUUUUGAGGAGUAUAAACAAAAAUUUACAUUUUCAAGGAUGUGUAUGAAAUUACUGACUUACUGGUUUAUAACCAUGCAAAUAAUAAGAAGUUUAGUAUUAUUAUUAUUAUUAUUAUAUAAUAUAAGCUCUUGAUGGAAUUUAAAGUCAUGAUUUACCAUCGGUUUCCUUCUAUUUAUAGAGGUCUCCUAUAAACCAUCGGUUUCCUCCUAUUUAUAGAGGUCCCCUAUCAACUUAACCCUAAUGGAUCAUACCAACUGCCCAAGCAUUUUAGAUUAGUGAAUCUUUAUCUAAUAAUUUCUUAUUGACUUUUAUUAGAUCUCAUCCAUACGAUUCAAUAAUUCAGGGACUUAUUAGAUAUCUAAUAAGAUAGAGACUCCGAUGGAUAUCUUCAAACCUCUACAACCUCCUAUGAUUUUAUUUUUUUUAAUAUUAUGUUAUUGUUAAUUGUUGGAUUAGUUGAUUAUGUCUUCCAAGUGGAUAAGUGACAAUUUCUUUAAUCAUAUAUAUAUAUAUAUAUAUAUAUAUAUAUAUAUAUAUAUUAUACAUAAGUAAUAUUUCUGGGAUUUAAAACAAAUCAAAGUGAGGUGAUGUAGAUUUUUAAUAAAUUAAAUAAAAAAUAAAUUACAUAUAUAAUAAUAAAAAAAGAAUUAUGAAAUAAAAAUUGCAACUCAUUUUCAUUAAUUUUAGUUAUUAUACCAUCGAAUCCAUCUGUUGAAGUUUCUAUUUUUUCGCUAAACAUUGCGUAAAUUUCACAUAUUGUUAAUUCUAUCUGUCAAUUUAUUAUUUUUCGCAAAAUUUUUGAAGAACUUGCCGUAAUUGUCCUCCGCUCCGAUCCGUCCUCUGUUCCGAACCUCUUUUCUCAAAGUCUCAUUCUCUCUCUCUCUCUCUCCUCUUCCUCUUCUCUUUUCGUGCUUCCUUCCCGGCGUGGUACGAAGGAACCGGACGGAUCCGCCUCCUAGUCUCCUCCUCCUCCGGCAUCCGCUUGGUCGCGGCCGUCGCCUAAGAGGUAAGCGUUCGUCCUCCUCCUAGGGUGCUGCUAAGAUCGGACGGAUUGGCUGUGCCGCUCCGAUCCUGGAUGAUACUUUGUUUUGAGUCGGGGAUCCCUAAUUUUUUUUCGUCGUCUCCGGCGUGUUGGGGAUCGGAUGAGUUUUGAAUUCUUGGCGACUGUAUUGAAUGUCGUCUAGUCUUCGCAGAUUUUAAUAGGGAUGAUUUUGUCUCACCCAAGGUCUUUUGAGAUCAGGUUUUGGAUCGAAGAUCCCCUUGAAUAUACAUUGCUUGUUCGUUCGAAAGGCGUACUAUGAUUUUAGAUCAGACUAUGAGGAUCGUAACCAGAAUGGUUAUAACGAAAAGAAAUUUUUUAGGAAAACGACCACAAAUUGGCCACUGGUGUGACCUAUUCGAAUGGGAAUUGAGUACAGGUUAUUGUUCCAAUGUAGUAUAUUCAGCUUAGUCAUAGUGUCCAUGACUUCUCGUUAAAGAUACUAUGUUUUGCUCUUUCCGACGCACCAAAAUAUGGCAGUACGCGAUCAAGCCUGAUUGCAGAGCUGAGCCUUUUUGUCCAUUUGAUUGGACUAACUUUUGGAAGCCAUAUGGUAUAAAAAUUAUACAUUUAUGGAUUGAGAGCAUGGCCAAUAUUGUACUCGAUGGAGCCAUUUGGUGACCCUUUAAUGAUAAGUUAAUUACUUCACCAUGAUCAACAUUGUUCUGAAAAAUGAUGGGAAUAUAGUUCCAGUCAGAACUCAAUGGGCCAUGCCUUAACAGACCAAAUAAGCCAUCGAAUGAGAUAAUAAGCAAUAAGCAAUGCUUUCAUGAUCUGAUUAAAAUUUUGUCCCAUCCACUUAGCAAUGAAAUUCCUUCACCUCUGUCCUUUGUUGAUGAUAUGGAAGAACUUGGAACAUGGAAAACUGUGUUUUAAUAUGCUCUCAUAGUAAGUAUUGUUAGAUCUUUAUACCUCCCUAAGUUAGUGGUGACACAUGCUUAAGACGUGGUUGGUGCAGUAAGGCAUGUGUUAUGUAGCACCUACCUGGGUUGGCACAGCAAUGAAAUUUUACAUUGUCAAGAAUAAAACAACAUGAAGUUAACUCCUAAGGAGUAUAAUAACUAGGUAACUAGGUAGCUAGCUAAACACAGAAGCAUCCAAGAGAAGUCAUGUAGGAAUUUGGUAUUAAAAGAAUUAGACAAGACAGUCAACUUAUCUUCUUGUCAAAACAAUUCAAUGGUCAUUUACAAACUAUUUGCAUGAAUUUUCAUGAUCAAUAUAGCUAACUGCCUAACUCCAAAAUUCUUGAAUAUGCACAGCAUGGCAUGAGCAUCUUCAGGCUCCUAUUAUAUACUAGGAAUGCAUUAAACAAGCCCACUAAACUCUUAUGACUGUGUCAGGGUUUGUGUUAGGACUCUAGCUAGGAGAGUCCUAAUUGAGAGGGGCAUUCAUGUAGGAGGUUUUUUCUUAGAGAAGAANNNNNNNNNNNNNNNNNNNNGAAUCUGCAAGGGUUCUAACAGUUUGUAAUUGUAGAUUGGAAAAAGACUAGUCUAACAGCCAAAGACCAUGUCGAGUUCUAAUCUCCCAUUAUUAACCUUCAUUCCUCUCAUUUUAGGACAAAAAUGAUACAUUCACGAUGUUUGUAGCCUCAUCCUUUCACGAUAUGAUACAUUCACAAAUAGUCUACGCUAUGUACUCUUGCCAGUAGGAAAACUGCUAAAGAAGCCAACGAAUUCGAAGUACUAAGACAUAUGAAUCUACAAGUUCAUAACUCAUCAUGAUAUUGUGCUGAUAACUUAGUUUCUAGUGUUAACUGUUGAUCAUUAUAUGAUUUGCUAAGUAGCUAACUUAUCUUUUUUAUUAGAACCUAUUUCAUUUUAUUGCACUUGAUGGGUUCAGGUUCUCUGAGGAGGAAAGGUUGUUAUCUGAUAAUCAAUCUCAAGCAUGGUAUGUUCUUCUAUUAUUUUUUUCUCUUUGAUAUUAUGGAACUUGGUUGUGCUUACAUCUGAUAUUUAUGAGGGUUCUUUGAUACUUGUCCUGUUUGUACAGCUGAAACUAGUUUAGUUUUGCUCAUUGAACAAAAUAUUUCUUGUACAUCUAAUGUGUAGAAAAAAAAUGCACAUCCCCUUUUAUCACCUCUAAUUUCUCAGGAAUCAUCAUAAAGUUGGAAUUUGGAAAUCUUGUAAAUGUCCUCCAAAGUAAAUAAAACUCUAUGAAUUCCUUUCUGGAUAAUCGUAGUUAUGAUUUGUUGGAAUUUCCAGUCCCAACAGAAACUACAUACUUUAUGGAUGGAUUAAUUAGCAAGUGCAGCAUGGAUUGGCAAAACAAGAUAGACUUGCUAUAAAUCAAGGUCUAUUUUUCCCUUUUAACGAUGAAGAAUAAAGUAUAUUCAGAAGUACUCAUUGUGAUGAUUUGAUAUUUGAAGUUAUUGAACCUUAAUCAAAACCUUAGUUUAAUCUUGGUUAAGACGACUUCUACUAGCACACAGUGACACCAUGGGCAUAUAUGAGUGGAUAAAUUGCUCGUACUUUAUUAAUUUAUAACUUAGUGCUAUUUUAUGCCUUUGGUUGUCUUUACUAUCUUUAUCCAAAUUCUUCUGUUGUUGCAUUGUCAAAUGAUCUUCACUUGUGGAUUUGUAUGCGAAAAGAUAAGGUGUGAAAACUUUUUAUCUUCUUAAAAUAUUUUUUUGGGGUACUUCAUAGGCUAUCAGUGCCAACCAAGGGUUAUUAUUUUUUGUUACCUAGUUGUGCCGAUCAGCAUAUAUCAACGUUGCUCUAGCCAUAUGCUGGCUUUUCUAGUAUGGUUGACAUGCUUGUGCUGAUUUUUUUUAGGUAAUAUGUUGAAACUUAUGUUUUCCAUGCCCAUCAACAUGGUGAUCCUGAUGACCAACUACUAUGUAUAGUUAAUAUUUAUUGGUAAAAAAUCAGUUGUUUGAUAUAUGGGUUUGAUUGAUAAUAGUUUCAUUAUAUGAUUCACCAAACAAAUGGAGGAAUAGUAAAUUGAACAUUGCUUCCAUCUGAAAGUGCAAGUACCUUGACUUUCACCAAAUAAAUGAUGCUUUUUGGCAAGUACAAAGUUCCCUGAACUUCAUCAUCAUACAUCUUGUAACGUAUUCAGGGGUUUUCUUAAAUUGCCUGCAAAAUGUUUUGCUGUUUUGACAUCUUAAUUUCUCCUUAUAUUAUCCAGAAUUACAUUAUUGGAGCAUUCAAGCCACCAUGUAACAUUACAAUCUCAUUUGCUGAUGGGAAAACCCGAAAAAAGGUAAAACAAUGUUUAUGUUUAGAAUAUCUGAUUGAUAUUUAUUUGUAUCAACCCUAUGCUUGAGUACUUUCAGUCUCAGUACAAGUUAAACUUACAGUAUGUUCUCUUGUGGUGGGGAUAUUUUCGUAUUUGUACAGGCUUCUAUAAAGAAGGAAAAUGGACAGACUGCAAUGGUUCCACUUUUCCAAAGCCUAGAAAACAUUGUAGGGGAGGUACUUUACAUACUUUUGAAGAUUUUAGUAUUGUUUGUUUUCACAGCACUACUAUACAGUGACAAUUUUUGGUAUGCAAAUAAUGUAUGGAUAAAUCAUAGCGGUAAAUCCAAUAUGCAGGUGUCUAUCGAACCUGUUCAAGGAAAAAAAAUUGAACAUACUGGUGUGAAAAUCGAGCUUCUUGGUCAGAUUGGUAUGCCUCGUUUAACCAAUUAAUUCUAUGCUAGUAUCAAUAAACAGCUUGAUUGCUAAUGCUACUGUGAUUGUGAUAUCGUUAUGUAACAAAUCGAGAAUAACUGACUCUAGCACCUAAUGAUUUUGGCCUACUAUUUUUAGUUUUUGUUUAAAAUGUUUAAAAUUAAAAACUGCAGUAGAAUAUAUUUUUGGUGACUUCAUUUCUAUAUUUUGUUUCUUGGAAGUAAAACUACGAUUGUCUAGUUCUCAGUGAGUUAAGAACAUAACUAGCAAACAUGUUUAUAAACUUCAAAAACAAAAUAAAAAUGAAAAACGAUGUUUUCACUUUUCACUUCUCACCAUCAAAACCUUCAACAUCAAAAAUAGAUCUUAGGUGGAUUUUUUUUUUCAGUACUAAGUUAGCAGCUUCCAAAAGAAGUAAACUCAUUCAAGAAUCUCUUUUUUUUCUUAUUAUUCCUUUUCUUUUGUUUUUCUUUUGCAUAGUCCAUAGGAAAACUGAUGGCCUUGUCACCCUCAAAGCAAAGAAUAGACAUAAAAGAAAAGAUAAAUAGCAUAGUGCACAUGCUUCUUGUAUAGAAAAACACCAAGAGACGUAUAAAUACUCUGAUAUAUGGAAUGGUUUAGAAUUUGUUUUGUUCCUUUUUUCAAGUAUGUUCUUUUUUUCCACGGUUAUCUGGGAAAAGGCAGGCUAGCUGGUUACUUGCUGAAGCCAACUAUAGUGAUUAACAACAACCUCUACAAAUUGAAACAUUAUUUGGAGUUAUUAUCAAUUCAAUGUUUCUGUGAUAAGAAUUGUGUGUAGUUUAUUGCUUUAAGUACAUAAGCAUUCCACUUGAAAAGUUGGAAGAGAGGAAGAAAGAGCAAGUCUAUGUUUUUUCCUUUUUCUUUUUUGGGAUACUUGCUGGGUCCAACUAUAGCUAUUAGCAACUACCUAGAGAAAGUGAAAAUGAUCGUUGGACUUAUUAUCUAUUUACUGACUGCUUGUUGUGCUUAACUAUCUGUAACUUGUUACUUUAGUUACAGUAGCUUUUUGCGUCGCUCUAGUUCCCUAGAUAACAUUGGUAUAAGAGCCUUACUGCCAUGCUUGCUUUUCUUGGUCUAAACUAGCGCAGAUUUCUUUGCAGUAUCAGAAUAAGAAUCUCCUAAGAAUUUACUUAAUUAGAGAUAACUAAAAUAUGCAUACAUCCACAAUAUGUCCAUGUAACCAAAGCAAAGUGUUAAUGUUGUAUUUAGAUGUUUUGAGCAUUUUCUGCUUUUCUUUUACUAAAAUAUUGCCUUUGUUUUCCUUAUUUUGUUUUCUCAUAUUCUUGCAGAGCUAUAUUUUGACAGAGGAAACUUUUAUGACUUUACCUCUCUAGGUUAGUUGGUAAUUUAAUUUUUAUUACAUGUCAUUUAUGUUGCAAAGCCAUCAAAUGGGUCUGAGUGCAUAUUGUCAAGCAUCGAAAUGCAUGAAUAGGUGGCAGCAAAUAAUAUCCUUUUUUUUAAUAUUUGCAAGAGACAGUUAUAGCCUCAAUUUACUAAUGUAAACAAAUUCGUCAACACCUAUAAAAUUAGAAAAAGACAAAAUAAAUAAAUGAAUUCUUAAAUACAUCGUCAAUUCCUUUCACUCUUCUAUAUAUUUUUGAAAAGGUGGAUGUUGAGGCCAAAUUAGCGGAAAUGGUUAAAGGCUAUUGAUCACAAAGGGAACAUAACCAAACUGUGUUUAGGAUCCAGAAGUUCAAGAAUAAGAUAACAUGCCAGUGAAAAAACUUUUGAUCUGAUAUUUUUCUAGCAUUUUGAACUAAUUAUAGUAACUUAUUUCCUGUUUUUUGUUCGUGUCUUUGUUCUAAAAUAACUCAAGCCAAAAUUUCCAUGUUUUUUAUCAAGGUCUAACCACCUAAGAGUUAAAAUUUGAGAGGUUCUGCAUGUAAUUUGAGUUACUAGGACAAGGUAUAUGGUUUUAAUUCUAAUGUGAAACUACAUAAGUAAAACUUUUCUUUUAAAAAGUUAAGAACAAUGUGCCUAAGUAUGAACUUUUAUGCAGAGAAUUGAUUAUAUUUAAAUUCUAAUAACAUGAUAUUAUUUACAGUGCGGGAGCUUGAUAUUCCUGGUGAUAUAUAUGAAAGAAAAACUUUCCCAUUUGAGUUCUCAUCAGUUGAGAUGCCCUAUGAGUCAUAUAAUGGUAUCAAUGUGAGGUUAAGGUGAGCAUACCUUUCCUUGUUGCUGAUACCUUAGUAAAUAAAUUUAACAUGUUUUCCAGUAAUCAUGUAUUGAGCUAGUAUCUUUUACCAAUGCCAUCCUUGUACAGAAUUAUAUUUAGGGUCUUUACCGACAAGUUAUACAUAGUGAAUGGAAAUGAAUAGAGCGGACACCUAGAGUGUUGCAAUUAAGUUCUUUUGUUGCUUCAAAAGACAAUUUGAAUCCUGAUUUGUUUUGAUUCUAAUAUGACAUUCUUUAUUGUUGAAUGGAAGGAUAUUGCAUUCAGUUUGAAAUUGAAAGUGCUUGGUCUUGGGCUUGGUUCAUUAUCUACCAUCACUUAUCUGAUUCUAUAAUUUACACUUUUUUAUCCUAGAUCAAAAUGCAAAUUUUAUGAUCUAUACUAGUUUGGAAAUGCUUUAAGGGUAUAAAUGACAAUUAAGACAAGCCAAAUAGUAAAAAGUUGGUGAAGAGAAUGAAAUUGAUUCUAUUAUUGUAGCAAGAAAGUUAUUUCACAACAAGCUAGGAUUAGCAUGGAUUGAGGAUGAGAGAAAGAAAAUUAAUUUAGGUGAUCAGACAACUCCAUGGAACUUAAGUGAACCAGUAAAGAAAAGUCAACAUCUUUAAAUUAUACAUGUUCCUUGAAAAUUGAGAAUUGUUGUCGCAGACUUUAGUAAGGAAGUGUGAGACAGAAUGUGAUAACUCUAAAAUAAUUAUAAAAUAAUCAUGUGUGAUAUAUCAAAAUGUCAAGAAAUAUUUUUUGUAACUGUUUGAAGAGUUGAAGAUAAAUUUUUGAUUGAUCGAUUUACUCUUUUAAGAUAUUAUUUUUUAUACUGUUCUGAAUUGUUUGCAGCAUUCUGUCUUGAUCUCUUUCCCCAAUGAAAGUUGCUACGUGAAUUUAAUCAUGUUUGAGUUUUAGUCCAUGUUGACCCUUUUUACACUAUAAGCAUUUGCUUCUAGAAUUUUGGUAUUAUUUGGGACAACAGCUACCUUGAGAGAUCAAUGUGUCGGCAUGUUUGAUAUCAGUGACUGACAAGCAGCAACCAUAUCUCCUACUAUAUUGCAGGUACAUUUUGAAAGUGACAAUCAGUCGGAACUAUGUAAGCAACAUUGUCGAGUACCAAGAUUUCUGGGUAAGUUCUUUCUAUCAUCAUGGUUGUUAAACAUUUGGUAGCUUAAAAUGCAACAUUUCCAUAUUAGAACUGAUCCUUUAUGCCCUAAUUUCUUGUUAAAAUAUGGAGAGGCAUGCUGAAAACAAACUGAAAUUUGACGAUUCAGAUGUCUGGUACCACAAGUAUUUUUUCAUCCUGCAAUAUGUAAAUGCUGAAUGCCAUGCGUGUUGACAAUCUGAAAAAUUCAUGUUCAAGAUAACAAAUUUCAAUUUGAACAUGCUUCCAAAAUAUAGUGGGAUGGACUCUUGUUGGUACACGACUGCACAUGUAUUAUACAAAAAAUCAAAUGCUAUGAGACAGUAUGUUAAUCAGACAAAAUCUUCAGCGGUACAUCUAGUCAUAGCAGAUUCUAGAUUUUGUUUAUUCUAUCAUGCUUGUGUUUUCUUUGAAUAUUACACUGCAUCACAGAAUUUCCUUCCCAACAAUUUUCCACAUGCUGAUCUCUUACAAAACCGAUAAAAGGUAAAGUCAGUUUUGUGAGAGCUGGUUGCUCAUGGGCAAUUGUUAGGAUAACUCAUUUUUUAUUAGUUUUCUUUUAUGAAUUUGGUGUUUUCUCCAUUCCUUUGCAUACUUUGACUCAUGUUGUUUAAUUUGUUAUAAUAUCAGGUUCGCAACUAUACCCCAGCACCAACAAUUAACAAUAGCAUUAAGGUCAGUGUAUCUUCUGGAUGGUAAUAGCAAAAACUUUGACUUAGUUAUGGUAUUAUGUGCUCUCUUAUCCACAUAUGUAUCUGUGGAAUCAGUGUAUUUUCAUAUAAUAUGGAUUGUACUACUGUGUAUAAAGGAAUUGUGUUGUGAUUUAAUGCCCCUUAGACUUCCUGCACAAUAUAUGGGAAGCGACAAUCAUAGAGUAGCAAGUGCUGCAUGGAGUUUCUAGAACCUACACAUUAUUCAACUAACAUUGACAUAUAAUAUAGGUGACAAGUGAAACAGCCAUCAUUGUGGUUUUGAAUUUAUUUCAUGUGACUAUCACAUUGAUAAACAAAAAAGCCCUGUGUUCCAAAUAAUCGUAAGUACUUUAUGUGGGUAAAGCAUGUCACUGUUUUUUCUGUCAGACGAAUUUUAACUUACUACUAUCUAUUCAUCUUGUAUGCAUCAAGACUAGGUAUCUGAUAUUGCAUUUUACCAUUCCGGUUCAUUACAUCAUUAUGAUGUCUUAGCUAUGACAUCCUUUACAAAGUACCAGAACAUGUAUGGAAAAGGUAGUCUUGCAAAAUGAAAAUGAACAACCUCAGUCCAUUAACCCAUGCAUCUAUCUUCAAAUAUUAAUUUUUUUCUUCAGUGUUUUGAAGUUAUAACCAUUCUGUCUUAGGUCCUCAUUUCCACUAAGAUGUCAUUUAUUCCCGUUACAAGGUUUCAAGUACAUGCUACACCGUUCGAUGCAAACUAGUAGUUAUCAGUCCAAUGACCUACUGGAUUUUGUCUAAAUGCAUCUCGGUAUACCACGUGGUAAAGUUAUUGGUGUUUAGCUGUAUGAAGCAAUAAGCCUACGGUACAACAAGUUCCACAUGUCCUAUACUUUUGAUCAGGGUUCUUAAUUUCGAUGUGUACCACCUGGUACGGGCGGUACAUAUCGGUCCAAGAGGAUAUUGAUAUGCAGACCGCCCUCUACCAGGUGAUACCAAUGUUUUGACCUCGUAUCGAGCGAUACAAGAUAUAUACCGUCUUGUAGUUGUCGAAAUCAAAUCGUUACCGAGGCAUAUCGGUUGGUACACCCUGGAUUUCGAUCGUUGCCGAGGUGUAUCGAUUGGUAUGCCCCAGCAUACCAUCGGUAUACCUCAGUACGUAUUGUAUCGAGCAGGGCUCGGUACACUAGUACGGACUGAAAUUGAGAACCUUACUUUUGAUUAGUAAUGAAUUUUUUAACCUUAUAGUUUCUUGUUUUUUUUCUUUUAUCAGCAAUCACAGAUAACUGGUGUCUCUGUGUGAAGAGUAAAAUAAAGUCGAAUUAUGACAAGAAAAUGUAGUUGAGUGAUCCUGAAGUUUUUCUUAAAGAAACCUAAAAAAAGCAAUUAAAUUUAAUUGUCCUAGCCUCCUAGGAACUAUCAGAGGUCUGAAUUUUAUUAAAAGCAGUUGUAAGCAUGCCAUAUUUAGUUUCUCCAGACCUUUAGUUAGUUGAUGUUUCAACUUGUAUGGUUAUUUUUGCAGAUGGAAGUUGGCAUCGAAGAUUGUUUGCACAUAGAGUUUGAAUACAAUAAAAGCAAGUAAGUUUUAGUUAUAUACUUAACUACGUUUUUGCUAUUAGGUGUAAGUAUAGGUAUUUGCUUCGCUGAAAUGAACUUAUUCCUUCUAGGUAUCACCUGAAGGAUGUUAUAAUUGGGAAAAUCUACUUUCUUCUCGUAAGAAUCAAAAUAAAGAAUAUGGAACUUGAGAUCAGACGCCGAGAAUCAACUGGUUCAGGGCCCAACACAUAUGUUGAGACAGAGACGCUAGCUAAAUUUGAGUUAAUGGACGGUGCUCCUGUUAGAGGUACAUAUAUUGGACUAGCUCCGUGUCCUUACAUUAUUCUGCAUUUUCUUCCAGAAACUUUGGUUGAGCAUAUAAGUUCAUGCCAUGUUUUCACAGUUCAGACUGAUUGCUUAAUCAACAUAACAUCUAUAUGCCUGUGUCGAUGUCAUUAUCCUAUAUUUUGAAUCUUUAAAUUCUUGGGACAAAAAUUUGCAGUACAUGCUUAUUCUUGGAGCAACGUCAUAACUGUCUAAUUUUUCUUUGAGUUCUUGGUGACACCGUUAGUUUGUCUUCUUCUUUUCUCUUUUCCCGCUACAAGCGACAGGUACUUGUGCAUUUUCAGAUGCUAUUCACUUUCUUUGGGUAACUAAAAAAAUUAUAAGCUUACUAGAAAGCUGUACAAUGCAAAUUGUGUAGUUAUGUACAAAAGCACCAGAGUGAGACUCACACCACUACAAUCCCAAAGAAGGCCACUGACAUCCAACUUUUCUUUUCUGUAAGCCUAUACACAAUACAUUAAUCCAAACUUUUCUCAGACAAUUGAAAGAUCGUUCCACUUUUAAUUUGCAGAGAGGAAGAUUUAUCCUGAUUAAGCUUACUCCAUUCUGCAUUCUACCUGUUGUACUCAAAGCAGAGAGUAAAGCAUUAAUCUUAUUCUGGUGCCAUACUAGUCUUUUUUAAAAACCAGGGAAUGAAGCAUUUGAAAUACUGCAGCAUGAAAAGGAGAGCUGUAAUAUAUCCUGAAGUCAGGAAUCGAAAACCUUACUUUUAUCAAUCUGAAAUAGAUGCCAAAGGCCCAAAGUGAAUUUGUAUAUGCUUGGUUUCAAUCACACCAAAUCUCUUUGGAAUUUGAUGUGAACUUCCUCUCCUUUCCAUGAUUAUUGGACAUUCUUAUUCAUUAAUAUCCUUGGUAUAUGAACUAUAAUUUUCUUUUGUAGAUUCACUGUCAGUUUCAGUUUUAAUGUCUUUCUUUCAUUCCUUUUUUUUUUCCCCAGGGGAAUCAAUCCCUAUAAGGUUGUUUCUGAGCCCUUAUGAGUUAACACCUACAUAUCGCAACAUCAACAACAAGUUCAGUGUGAAAUAUUUCUUGAAUCUUGUUCUCGUGGAUGAGGAGGAUCGACGGUAUUUCAAGCAGCAAGAGAUCACCAUAUAUCGCCUCCAGGAGACUUCUUGAGGUUUAUGGUCAAGAGAAGCUUCAGAGUUUGUAAAAGAAACUACCAAUGGUUCUGAUUUAACUAGUGCAUCAACUUUUCUUGAAGACUCCGAAUUGGAUUGUCUUUGCUCAUGUUUUGCUAAUCAACUUGUGUGACACUCGAGCUUCCUCGUGACGCCAACUGCAGACCCUUGUAUUAUGACAAUCUGCAAGGCUGCCAGCCAAAAUGCUUAUGAUUUGUGAAUGCUAAGAUUUUCUUCGCACUAUCAUCGACAUCUUUCCAUUGUGAAUAAAACAUUCUACAAUAGUUUGAUAAAUUUUGUCAUUCAUAUCGGUUUAUUUACGUUGACUUGGUUAAAGCAAACCAUAUUUCUUGAUGCAUAAUCUUGUUUUGCUCAUUUGCUGUCAGAUCUGAUGGAACUGCAACUGCUCUCUCCCAUUUUACUUCUGUGAGGGUGAAGAAUUGAAAUUACUAUCGGGUGGUAUACGAUGAAGUGAUUCCAAAUAAUGACAGGUGGGAGAUACUUUUGUCAUGUCGAUGGAUCGGAUGUGAUUCCAAAUUAUUUAUCCCGUGAUCACAUUGAUGCCGGAGACCUAAUUAUAACUGCACAUAUCCGUCAUUCCAACUCUCCCAACUAUUAGACAUAACACGAUAUUAAAGUUUGUAAGAACUGAAAUUUUCAUAAAUUGUCACGUAAUAAAUAAAAAAACCUAUAGUUAAAAUAAUUAAUAUUAGUGUUAAAAUUAUAAAUAUUCUUAAUUUAACUAAAAAUGUUAUGCUUUAUAGAUCUCACCGAUGGAAAAAAAAAAUUCAUACAAUCGAUCCUAAAUAAUUAUAGUAUAACCUAUUGCUUCUUUAAUAAAAUUUGAAUGCUGACAUUUAUGGAUUAAGCUUCAUUUAGCUGAUUUUAAAAUAAUCAAUCUUAACUCAAAAAAAAAAUUUUGUUUUUGUGCCGCAAUAACUUAUAAUUUUCCCAUAAUUGUCUCAUCUACUUGAUACGAAGGUUACAAAAGCCUCGAAUCGUAUGCUGCGGUUUCAUUUUCAGAUGUACUCAACAUGAUAGAAGAUCACAUUCGGCAACAGUGACUUGCCAAGAUGGGCGCACCACAACUGGCAUGAUCUUUUUCGAUUCUAAAUUGUUCGUUCUUGGAGUGAGACCUCUUUCGACUCUUCUGGAGAAGCCACAAGACGUGACUUCCACCAGAAAGCGCGUGCAUUUUGAAUACGGAUCGCAGCAGAAACGUCACAACAUAGGAAUCAGUGACUCGACCAUUGCCAUUGCUUUUCUGAUGUCGGUGUUGCCCGGUGCCGAACUAUUAUUCAUGGAAGAAGGAAGGGAACGAUUGGAUUGGAUAAACUGUGAAAGGGAGAGAGAAGCCAAGUGAUCGGUCCAGCAGCAGUCCUACCACCGAAAGAGGUGGGUUUUAGGCAUCGGAAGUCGUCAAAGUCUUCGGUGGCCGUCGUCUCUGUAAAGGUGUGGUAGAGACGAACACAGCAGUAGAUUGAGAUUCCAUGACAUAUAUCCUCCAAACAACAUGGAUUACGACGUUGCUGAUGCCACCACGCAUGAUGUGCAUGUUGGAAGUCGCAAUGGUCCCAUGAAGGCAUCAAAAGCAACUUCCAAAGGCAGCGGUUGAUGUGUGCGUGUGUGUAUAUAUAUAAAUAUAUAAUAAUAAUAAUAAUAAUAAUAAUUUAUAUUUUUAAUAUUUGUACCCUAACAUAAAUGAGAACAAUUACAAAGAUUUUUAUGUAUAUAUAUAUAUAUAUAUAAUUUAGUCUUUAAAAGAUUGCAAAGGGAGGGUAAUAAGGAAAGAGAAAAUAUGCUUUGAAGGAAAUAACACCCAAAGAAGUUGAAAUCACAGUGAGUCACGUGAAAGGUGAGCGAAUAGAAUUGGGUGUUGACAGGACAAAGAGUUGGGAGGGAAUCCACCGAGGAAGGAGUGCGCCACCACCGCCCAACUUUGAAGAACCCUAAGCUUCUUCCCCUUUUCGAUGAGUUCCAUCAAACGCUCCCUAUCGAUCGCCUCGGCCGGUGUUGGAACUCUAAGCAGCAACUCCUCCAAGCUCUUAGGAUCACAUUUUAUUUGCUCUCCUUCCCCCAUCAUCACAUUGUUUGUUGUGUCUAUGAUCAACAAACCCUACUUUAUGCACUUCAUAUAAAUAGUAUCUAUCCAAAAAUUGAUGGAGGUCCAAAGUUAAAUUCAUUAGACAUUGUCCAUUUGAUUCUAAAUGUAAAUAGCAAGUAAAAAGAAAUCAAGCAUAUGCAUGAAGUGGAGGGUGGAAAGGGUAAUAUUUUUUGUAAGUAAUAUAUUUUGAUUUGAUCCAUAGUAUUUAUUAUACAAGUAUCAAAACAAGUAAAUUUAUUUAUUUUUUUGUAUGUAUAAUCUCUUCGAUAGUUGGAAUAAAGAUCAAACCAUAUAAUUUCAUGUAUGAAAGAUUUUGAAUUAGUUUGAUGUGCACACAAGUCAUAUGAAUUUUAAUUCUUAAAUAUUUACAAAUUAUAGAGUUUGUAGAAUUUAUUAUCGAAGUGUAAUGAAGGCGGUCUCAAUCUUUUCUCAACGAUUGAAACUUAAUUAUCAAUUCAUGUACAAAACUCUUUUAUUUCUUAAGAAAAAAGAUCGAUCAUUAGUUUUAUACAUUCAUGUACAAAGUGUCAUGGUGAGAAUUUGAAUUAUCAAUGUGGAAAAAAUAAACCCAAAUAACACACUACCAGACUAUUUGAUUUUGUGAAGAGAUUGAUCAUAACGUUUUAAAUUAUAACACAUAAGAAGAACUUAAAUUUGAUCAAAUCUAUCAUUGCGUGAGUCUAACAAAAAUGAGAAUGUGAUGCACUCAUACAAUUAUUCUCCUCGUAAUUGAAAUGGAAGAAGAAAAUAAAAGAAAAAAGUUAAAAGAAGAGAUAUACCAAUUGGAGGAGGGAAAGGUUCAUUAAGGAUAUUCUUGGACUAAUAUGCAAUCACUGAAAAAGGAGAAAAAAACUAUUCUCAAAAUUCUAAUUUAUUUUUUAUAUUGCAAAAUAAUACUAUAGCUUCCGAGAAGCAAUUUUUCUAUCAGAAAAAUAUAAUUAUAUGUUGAAAUAAAGCCUUUUGGUUGAAAGAGUUACACAUAAAAAAAUGUAAUUUACAUUGAGGUAUGCUACCUUUCAUAAAUGUCAAGAAAAAGAACGCUGAUAUUAUUAUUAUAAUAUUAUACAUGUUUAUAAUAUUAAAUCGAAAGAUUAGUAUGUAUGGCCUAUAGAAUUUUUGGACUAAUAUACCAAAAGACAAAAAGUCUUUCAUCAUAUAAUUCAGGAAGAGUAUUAAUUACUUGGUUAUGCAUGGUGCUAAUGAGUUGAAGGUCAACUCCAGCUCCAAAUGAUUGCAGGCAGAUAGGUGAUGCACUUUUGAUCUUUGUCUUCCACUAGCCCCAAAGAGAGAGAGAGAGAGAGAGAGAGAGAGAGAGAGAGAGACCCAAGUCAACUGUCUUAGGAAGCAGAUAAGAAUUGUCACAUGGGUUCGACUUCCUUCAAGGAUAAAGCCAACCACCACUUACCUAUAAAAUAAUGGACUCAAUCCGAUCGAUCAUAUUUAGAUUAAUUAAGAGCCAAUUUCUAUUAGAUUAUACAUUGAUAAUCGAUAUAUUAUUUUUGUUUCAUCGAGCAUAGUGUUGAAAAUGAGAAUAGCGAGUUUCUAUCUUAUUGCAAGAUGAGGAUAUUUUCUUUUUAGAGUAAAUGAUAAACAUCGCCAAAUUCUUGGAUGGAUUAAAAAAUCCAAGAAAUGUUGGUUUCACUAAUGUAUUACUUCUAUUUGAUUCUAAUAUUAUAAUUGAGGCUAUUAGUUGAGCUAUUCCUUUUUGACAAAUUACUAAUCAUAUUCGAUAAGUUCGACAUGUCUAAUUUUUUCGAAUGCCGUCGACUAUUUGAUUGAUUAUUUUUGUAAAAUAAAAUUAUCAUAAUUUUUCUAUGCUUAUAUACUUUGAUGAAAAUGAUAUAUUUUGUACUCGACUUUUUACUUAAUAAAGUUUCAGAAUAAAUGAUCUAAAAGUAAAAGAAUAAAAUAUAUUUUUUCUUUUAAGAUUAAUAAUAAUAAUAAUAAUAAUAAUGAUAAUAAUAAUAAUAUUAUUAUUAUUAUUUUUAUGUGGGUGAUGGAUUCCGUAGCACAAGAUCGUACUCAAAUCUUCGAAUCGCCCACUCUCUCUCGCUCUCUCUCUAUCUCCUCUUCGUCUAUAAAUGGGGAAGCCUCUCGCUCCAAAGGCCACAGAGAAGACCACAAGCCAACUCAUCCCCUACUGCGGAGAAGAGAUGCAAGAGGACAAGAAGACGAAGGUGAAGAAGGGAUCGCUCACCGUGAGGGUGGGUCUCGAGGACGGAGAAGACGGUGGUGGCACUCGUAAGUUCGUCAUCCCUAUCUCUUACCUCUACCACCCCCUCUUCAAGCGCCUUCUCGAGUCGGCUCAGGAGGUCUACGGCUACCACUCGUCGGGGCCGCUCAAGCUUCCCUGCUCCGUCGACGACUUCCUCCAUCUCCGGUGGCUUAUCGAGAGGGAGUCGUCGCACCGCUCUCACCAUGGCGUCCACCACUCCUUCUCCUUGCACUCAUGCUGAGAAGACAUGCAUGCGAUCUUUUUGUAGCUGUAUACUGAUCAGACUCGGGCGUCGCACCCUCCAUCCUUAGAACAUGAUUCGAGUUUUCUGAGGUUUGUCUGUGGUGUUUUUGCUUGGAGAAAGGAAUUCAUGGUGGAUUCAGAGGUGAAGUGAUCGACUUCCUCUAUGCUUGUCUAAGAGGCAACCUCACAAAUUGGUGUAAUUGAUCUAUGGAUGAUGAGAAUAAAAAUAAGUCAUAUAUAUAUAUAUAUAUAUAUAUAUUUAUUUAUUGGAAGAUGCAUAAUGCUAAUUCUACCCACAAAAAUAAUGUAAAUUCUAAACUAGAAAGAGCUUCUAGAGAGGGAUUUAAAUCACAACACUACUAAGUUACUGCAAGCAUUUAUGAAGAAGAAGAAAGAGUUGAACUUGAGCAAUGGCAUCAUACAUUUUUAAGGAAAUGCAGUUGUGGAACAAUUUGGAUUGAGUUUUUUGUGGGUAUGAAUCAUUUUUCUGUAGUUGCUCCCACAAUAAGGGGGAAAUCUGUUCAUCUCAAUUUUAUUCUAUAAUGAUCACAUAAUAUGAAGGGCAAAAAAUAGGAGGCCAAGACAGCAUAGAUUAAAGACCCAGCAAAACAUCACAUCCUAAAUAUGGAUCUCCUUCUUGAGAACAAUGUUCAUAUUAUCAUAGCACAAAAGAAAAACUACUGGGUGAUGCUAAAAGAUAUAGCUUUUCAUCAAAAAAUUACAGCCAGCUGCCAAUUUGAAGCUUCCACCUGCCAUUUCCACACACAGGAAAAUUGCUGUAGGUCAAUCAUGAUGUUGCCAGGUUUUGAGAGAAAUGCACAUCAAGGUGGUGGAUGUCAUGAGUGCUUCAAGACAAUAAUUGGUUGUAUUACAAGGCACAGCUGCUCAGUCGCAAGAUUCCAGGACAAAAGGGAACAAAGACAAUCAACAAAAGUGAAGGUUGAAGAGAAACCACCAACACCUUACAUGGAACAAGUGCUGAUGCCAAUUGUGAACCACAUUACAAAACCUGUUAGUUGGAUCCCAAAUUAUCCUCAGGAACAGUAGUAGUAGUCUCUUGUACUUUUCUGUUGCCUCAUCUGUUUAAUUAAUGCACCAAAAUUAGGCGGAAGACGAGUUCAUAAAAAUGCUACAGCUAUUUGUUCGGCUACAUGUAAAAUGUUAGUCUUGACAAUGUCAGAUGCAUCAAACGAGCUCGCCAAAAAACCACAAGGAAAUUUGCAUGCCACUACCGAGAGAUGAAGAAACAAGACCAUCUAAAACAGGAGCAUGAGCAAAACCAAAGAUGAGGCAAACAAGCAUAGAGUGUGGCUUAAUGGUCUAACAGAAGAGGCCCUAGAAGUGCUUCCGGUUGGGCUGAAGGCAGGAGAAACACCAGGGAGUGUAAACGUUCCUGGCAUCGAAGACCUGGGGGUUGUAAUUGUACCACCUGCUUCGGCUGGCGAUGGUGAUGGCACAAGAAAUGAGUCAUGCAGUACCGUGGUUGGUGGCGGUAUGACCGGAGGAAACUGAUGUUGCCCUGAAUGAGAUAAUAAAACCAAUUGUUGCAUAGUUAUGCAGUUGUCACUUGGGAACUACAUGAAUUGAACAGUACAAACAUGGGAAAGAAGUACAAAGAUUACCUGGACAUCGAGGUUGAAGAGAUGUGCUCAAUCUGCAAAAUUAAUUAAAUAUCAUUGACUUGUUCUAUUAGAAGAAGAUUAUCAAGAUAAAAGAACAAUAGAAUCUGCUUACCUAGUGACGAUUGAUCCAUUAACAAAACCACCAUAAUUACAUGAGGUAACACUACAACCAGCAGCAGUCUGUUGGGAAGUAUAAUUUCCAAGCAUAAGACUACUGUUACUGCAUUGCAUGCUUGAACAUGACACUGCUAGUGAUGCUGGUGUACAGUACAAACUGCAAGAAGUUGCAAUUAAGCUUAAAGUGAAAAAACAAAUUAAAGAAACAAAAAGAGAAAGGGAAAAAGGAAGGUUAAUGAUUACUUGAGAUUUCCAGGUCCACAACUGCAUUGAACACAGUGACUAGCAGUAAUGGCAUAGGUCCCAUUAGCUACAAUCAAGCCAUAAUCCGAGGCAUACUUUGGAAACAUUGACGCACACGCUGUACCCCCCGGCCCCCAAAAAAAAAGAAAGAAAAACUUUAGCACCCUUGAAAAAGUAAUAAAGAGACAAGAUCAACAAUAGAUUCACAAUCAGGGACAACUCUGAAGAUGGAAAAUCAUGGUAACAACAUAUUACCAAAGAAAAAUGACACUAUGGCACAAAAAAAGAAAAUCACUAAAGGGACUACUGAGAGGAGAACCACUUUCAGGAUGUAUGUUACUAUGUUUGAUUUGUAAAACUGCAUAUCUCUAAACCUUUACACAGAAAACACAUGUUCGUUUUUUUUUUGUUGUAAUUUUGGACCUAAACAACAAUAAGCCAAGUCAGACUAUUUAAUACAUGUCACUAAAAGGCCUUUUCAAUGAUCACUGAUCCUUAAUGUUUAUGCAAUGUUCGAUGCAGAUUAGGAAAUAUAAAGAACUUGAAAAGACAAUGAAAAUCCAUACAUUUCAACUACAUAAUAGACAGAUCUUUGGUCCCUGAUAUUCUUUGGGUCAUCAUAUUUCAUAACAUUGCUUUAACAGUGUUAUAGAUCAUCUUCCUAUAUAAGUGAAACAUCAAGAGAACUUCUCAUACUUCCAAGUUCCAAUAUCCUUAGUGGCCAGAAUAGCUUCUCUUUGUUACUUGAAACAGGAACUAGAAAACAGAGUGUUUCCUCUCCUUAACGGUGAUCCCUCAAAAUUCUUCUCGGAAGCAAAUUCCAUGAUAUUGUUGCAACAGAUAUAUCAAUCAUAUUCCAAAAUAACAUGUUUUUUAAUCCAAGAAUCUAUUUCCAUCUUAUCUCAGUCUCUCUGUUGUUGGUGUUUGUAUAUAAAUAAUUCGAGUGUUUGUAUAUAAAUAAUUCGGCUAGAUUUUUGUGACAUUCCAAUGAAGUAGAGUGCAGUUAUUUGAAACGCCAGGCAUGAUUCCAUCAUUAUUGUGUCCUAACAUGCUACCUCAGGCUUAGGAUUUUCUAUUUCCUUCAUAUUCCAUAACAGUGAACAUGUUUACAGAAGACAUGUAUAUCAAUUUAGACACUUGCACGAUAGUAGAUGCACUAGAGGUGGUUAUGUUCAUUUGACAAGUUGGAUUUUAGUCCUAGCCAUUUCCUUCAAGAAAAGGACAACCUAAUGUAUGAGGUUUCUGCAAAACCUUGGGUGCCGAUAGGAUCAAUGUAUAUAACCUUACUGCAUUGCGUGGUUGAACAUGGACCAACUCUGACAAUCAAAGACAUGUAACUUUAUACGAUCUAUGAUUUCUUUCUAUAAUGUUAAGUUCAAGGAAAAAACAAUAUUCUUGAAAUCUUAGCAAACCUAGAGAUCUGGCCACUUCAGUUUCAUGGUUUAAAAGGAGAAGCAUUUGGCUUUAACCUUUGCCUCGCUUCCCUUUAUCCAUGAUUCCUCUGAAAAUUAAAUGUAGGUUGUCUGCUCGGACCACUUAAGAAAGCAUUAGGCUUUAUUCCUUUAAUCCAAAGGGCUAGAAUAUAGUCAAAGUAAUGCACUCGCAUGUUAGGAUGCAAAGGCACGAACAGCAUAAAGUAGCAAAUUGCUUGGUUCGAGUGACACUGCACACUCUCUGUAACAAAGAAUAAUACAUCAAUAUACCUGGAAGCGGUAUGGCGAGAAUGUCCCCCUGCUGGACCGACGGGCUACCCAUGUUGUUCACGUUCAUGAUGUCCGUAACAGUGGUGGAGUAGCGGGCGGCGACGGCGGGCACGGAGUCGCCCUGGCGGACCACAUAGGAGAGGUAUACGGCGGGGAGGAAGUUGUCGGUUGUGUUGAAGCAAGUGCAGGGGAGGGGGAUGACGAGGGUGCGGCCGGCGUCGAGGGCAGAGGGGUCCUGGAUGUUGUUGGCCUCCUGGAUCUGGUCGGAGGAGGCGAGGCCGCCGUAGACGGAGGCGGCGAUGGAGGCGAGAGUGUCGGCAGGGCGGACGGUGUAGCGGGUGGAGAGGGAGCGGCGGAUGCCGCCGGAGCAGGAGCAAGCGGCGGGGACGCGGAGGAAGAGUCCGGAGGGGAGGAUGCGGUUCUCGACGUCGGGGACGGAGAAAUCGACGGAGUUGGCGGCAAGGAGGGCAACUGAGUCAACCUGGAAGAGGGCAGCCACCUCGGAGACCUUGAGGUCGGCGUAGAGCCUGUAGCCGAGCAGCGCCGGGCAGGAGUCCGUUCCCGUGCACGGCUCGAUCGUCGACUUGGCGAUGGCCGUGCCCGCAAGCAGAUAGAACGGCAAGAAGAAGCAGAAGAAGAAGGGCAGCAGCAGCAGCGGCUUCUCCCCCAUUUCCUCUUCAAAAUUUCCCCUUUCUUUUGCUCUCGCUUAUUUCUCUUCGGUGGCAGCACCAAAAGAGAGGAGAGAGAGAGAGAGAGAGAGAGAUGGGAGGGGAAAGGGAAAGAGGUACGGUCGGGAAUACGAGGCAACGGUCGCAAGAGAGGGAGAGAGAGAGAGAGAGUGAGUCGGAGUCGAAGACAUGCUUAAUGUUUUCAGGGCAGUUUUUUAUUUGAAUAUAAUUUUUUCCUUUUCUUUUGUGGUAAACUUCGCGGAUUAGGUUGGGCUGGGCUGGGCCGAGAACAUGGGCUAAUGGAUUGCUUGAAAUGGACUAAUCAAGAACUCGUGUGCGUGAUUUGGACUAAUCGAAUCGUGACUCAAUCUGUCUCAAUUAUUACUUAAAUUCAUUUAUCGUUCAAUAAUAAUUCAAUUUCUAAUGUUCAGAUUCAUAUUACUUAAUAUUUUUUAUUUGUAUUUAAUUUUUUUGUCAUGCUAUAUUGAUUGAUUACGUGAGAAUUACUUGAUUGGUCAUGACCAUACUGCAAUCAUGCGUCUACAUCAAAUCAAAUUGCACCUUUUCUAGUUCUUUUUUCACCAGACGUUGAAUCCAUGAUUUAGAUAAUAAUAGUUCAAUCUUAUAUAUAUAUAUAUAUAUAUAUAUAUAUAUAUAUAUAUGUAUAUAUAUAUUACUAACUACNNNNNNNNNNNNNNNNNNNNNNNNNNNNNNNNNNNNNNNNNNNNNNNNNNNNNNNNNNNNNNNNNNNNNNNNNNNNNNNNNNNNNNNNNNNNNNNNNNNNNNNNNNNUACUAUAUAUAUAUAUAUAUAUAUAUAUAUAUAUAUAUAUAUGUAUAUAUAUAUUCAAACUCAACCAACUAAUAAGUACUUAAUACUUGAAUAACUAUUCAUAUGUAAAGAACUCUUUUCAUAUUUCACUUGAAUAUUUAUUUUACUAUUCAUACUUCAAUGCAGUUGUUUAAGUACGGAAAAAUAACAUGGUAAAUAAUAAAAAUGAUAUUGUUUUAUCAAUAAUAAUAUGAAUUCCAGGCUCCUAUUGAGAAUGGAAGUAAACAGUAGCAUAACAGUGUUGAUCAUGAUACGAAUAAGAAGAGAAAUAGCAAGUCAAACAGAUUGUUCUUACAGAUUAUUCUCAUGGAGGAUUGUUAUGAAGGGGUUCCUUAAAAACUGUUCAUCCCGUUGAGAGAGGAACGAUUAAUAAGCUUCCAUGGAGGGAGUCCAUGGAAUUUGCAUCCCUGUUAUUGGUCAGUGUUGGGGACCUUUGCAUUUGUAUCUGCAGUUGUUGGGAGCUUGCAUGUGUUGGUGAUGGUAGCAAGAGGAGCUUGGAGUGCCAUAAAUUGGUAGGCCUACCAAGAUGUGCUAUAUCACGACCUAGAGGACCAUCUUCAGUACCUGGCCAGCUGCCAUGGCUGUUCAGGAGCUGCUUUUACUAUUGAAAUGGAAAGAAGACCAUGGCCUUCACCCUCUUUAAAGCCUUUGCAAUUACAUGCAUGCGCUGUUACACAUCUCUCUCUCUCUCUCUCCAUGUAUGUUGCUGUUAUGUGUGUCGUGGUGCAGCUAUCAAAGUGACUAAAAAUCUUGGAAGCGAGAAAGUCGCUUCUAUCUCGUUAAAAUCUAUCUAUGGCAUCUCCAUUCACUCCACCCACAUGAACAGCAUUUAUGAGAUGCCAUAUAUAAUCCGAAGAUUGUUGCAUCAUGUCAGAUACGUUUCCCUUCCUUCUCAUCCAAAAGAACUUGAAGUUAAAUUAUGAACAAGGUGAAAAGAAGAGCUCCAAUUAUGAAAAGCAAAUUAUGGCAUGAUUAGUGCUAAAUAAAAACGAAUGUUUGGGGGUAAAAACUAGAGGCAAGUGAUAAAACUAUGAUGCAAAAGAUAUAUUUCAAAUAAUAAUAAUAAUAAUAAUAAUAAUAAAGGGAAAGCCAUAAAAGUUGGGCUCUCAUGGAUUCAAUUCUAGAAGCAAAUGUGAAAUGUUGUUGUAGUUAGAGAGGUCAUAUCCGAAGAUGUUGCUGAAUUACUGAAAGACGAACGAAAAAUUAGCCACAUAUGCAGAAGAGAAAAAGGUCGAAUUCGGUGCAGAAGAACGCAUGCAGAUACGAACAAACAGUGGAUUCAACAUGGAGAACAACAGCAUAUGUAGUUUUGGAACAUCAAGUGUUUUGAAAUCGGUAGCUUUUAGAGUAAACCUAAGACAAGCAUAGGCGGCUGAAAGUUCUUCACCGCUAUAUGUUUUAUAGUUUUCCAGUAAAUUUCUUCCUCAAGCGCACGCACGAGAGAGAGAGAGAGAGAGAGAGAGAGAGACUUGCCUAUCAGAUCCAUGGAGCUCCAACUCCAAUUCCGGAAAGUAUUGUGGGAAGCUGAUCGAUCAGGUGAGCAAAUGUUGGCUGAGAGGAAUGAAGCCUGGUCCGACCUCAUGCAGCCUCAGCUAUGAAACAUAAACAUGUGUGUGUGCUACAUGACCUCGAACCAGACAACAUUCCCCUCAACCCACCUCAACAAGAUGUUGAUUCCAAACCACAAGCUUCGCAUGUAGGAGUGAGACAUAGAGAUGCAAUGCCUGGGCCAUCCAUGGGUCAACCAAGCCUGCUUGAUCUGAUGACAAGAAGAAGAAGAAGAAGAGAGAGAGAGGGAAAGAUGAGGGAAAUGGGGAGAGUGGGUGCAGUGAUUUGUAGGAAGAGAAGGGGGGAAGGGACAGUCCACACUAAUUGCACAAUUUAUUAGCCUUCCCAUUUGGCACGAGCUGCUCUACUCGCCAAUAAAUAUCAUUGCAUCUCCUUCCUCUCCUGUUGCUUUCCUUUCUUUCUGUGAGCUCGUAGAACUGACCUAAACCAAGACAUUAAAUAGCUUGUUCUCUCUCUCUCUCUCUCCCUCUCUCUCUCUCUCUCUCUCUCUCUCUCUCUCUCUCUCUCACACACACACACACACACACACACACACACCUAGAGACCUACACCAGGAAGCUGUAAUUGUCUUUCAUCUCUUAGUAGCCUAUGGAUUCAGCUGCAGUUGCAAGGUCACGUUAACAGGUUUUUGACUCUUUUGCCAGUUCUUUCCCCUUAAGCCGAACUUCUCAAACCUUUCAUCAUUGCCUUAUUAUUUGUUUCCCCCACGGUCUUCGUUGACGGUUCCACUUUCUAUAUGAUUACCGUAUAGCCAUCAACUGAAGACCUCUAAUUAUAUACGUAUCUAUACCUCUAAUAUUCUUAUCUUUAUAUCUUUUUCCUAAAAGACACUAAUAAAUAAGACUAUUAAGAAAAUAUUAUACGGUAAUCAAGUCAACGUGAUUAACAACGACGAUUAACUUUGGAGAAAAGCAAGUGCAAUUGUAUUAUAAAGAGAGGAGAAAGAGCCAAACUUGCAUGGCUCUCUUCUGUGACGUACUUCCACCAUGUAUUUUGUAUUGUGAUACACUUGUAUGCACAGUGAGUCAUGCUGACAUGGUCACCUACGUGGACUACUGUGACAAAUAUGCAUUUUGACAAACGUCCGAAGCGUGUUAGAGGAUAUUAAUAUGCCAUGCCUUCACAAUACAAAUAUAGGUGGAUAUUAAUAUGCCACAUCUUCCAAUUCGCUUUUAGCCUUCUAAGGUAGUUUUUCCUCGUAGGCAUUUUACACUCUAAAGAUGGAUAGAAUAAAGUAAAAAGAAAUAAACAAAUAAAACGAAUACGAUAGCAAAAGAAAAUUCUGAUUAAUUAUGAACUUUUUUUUCUGAAAAUUUUAUCUUUCAAUACCCACGUAAUUUUAUUAUGCAAAACGAGAAACCUAUAGAAAAUGUCUAAAAAUAUCAUGCCAAAGCUCCAUAAACUGAAGCAAUUAUAAUCUUAUUGUGCAUUUUAAAAUUCAUUUAGGCAGCUAAAGGAGAAAAAAAAAACUCAUCCAACCUCUUCACCAACCUGUAUUUCGAACUCAACUCAUAUUCCAAGUCCCCUAAAUAUCAAUGAGAAAUCAUUUCAGAAAUUGACUACCAGCAUUACAGAUCUGGAGCCAGAUGUGAUCCGUCUUCAUGCAUCUGCACCAGAUGAGUUGUUCCCAUAGAUAUCUGUUGGCACAAUCUUCAAUGGUCUUUGUUUCUCGUACUGAGAAUACAAUGCAAAAAAAAAUUAUUGUUAUUAUUGGCAGGAAGUAAAACCACAAAAUAAUGAAAAAUGGGAGCAUGCCAGGGUACAAACGAGAAACUCCUUAGCAUGGGAAAGAAAAACUUUUACCUUCUUGAGGAAAGCAUCGAUCUCCUCCUUUGUCAGAGCUUCCUCCCAAGCAUUUUUAUCCCAUCCAAGAGACUGUAAAAAAGCUUCUUCUUCAGGGUCAACAACAGCGUCUGAACAAGGAUUAGUUUCUCCAUUGUCAGUAUAAAAUCUUGCAGACCCAUCAGAGGCACAUGAAUCUCCAUUCAAACAAUUGCCGAUCUCUGUUGGAUGAUCCGAUUCAGAUACUGGUUUAAGGUUGUUAUUUUCCAUAUUGUCAGCAGAUGUGAUCUGCAGGUUCUCUGCUUCUGGCCUUUCCAAAAUUGACACAGUUUCAACAGAGCUUGGUUCUGGAAUAGCACUUGAGCUUGUUGAUGAUUUCUUCCUUAGUAAAUUGAAGAAAUCAUUUCUGUUCUGAGCUUGAGAAAGGACCUUUCUUUCCCCGGUGGAGGGAUGAGUUAAGGCACCAUUCUUGUCAGCUUUAAGCUUUUGGUCCGUCAGGUUCUUCAUAGGAAGAGUUGCAGCAGAUGGUACUAUGCCUACGGGGUUCAUCCCUUUGCCAACACUUGGGCUAUCUUUGGCAGCAGGGAAGACACCAUUCUUCUCUCGGUUAAGAACUUGAAAAUUUCCCACUUGAGAUGUCUUUUGAAUAUCUGAUCUAGCUGGUACGCGGACAGUAUGAUUAACAUGUGACUGCUGGCCAGUCUUGGUGAGAGAACUGAACUCUCCGCCUCUUGCAACUUUUGAUUUUGUCUUUUCUGAUGGGUUGCAACUCUGAAGCAUAUACAAGAUCAUGAGCAAACCAACUUUCAGAAUACAUAAUAAAAGAGUGAAAAAACAGUCAAAAGUUUAUCGCCUUCACAAAUUACGAACACAUAAAAGAAAAUGUGGAAAAAGAACAGGCUGCAAAACCAAAACACUCAAACUCAAGUAUAAAUAACCAUAACAAACAUCUUUGGUUUAGUAGUUGCUCAUACAUCCAAUUUGAAUUUAACAAAAGAAUGAAAUAUAAAGACACGAGGCUAAUAUGUUGGAGUACAUCAUAUAGUUACAAAAUGUAUAUCUAAUUGCAGUCUCACCUCAAAACAAUAUCUACAAACAUGCUAUUUCAAAAUGCUUGUCAACACAUACUAGCUAUUUAUAGGAUAUCGAUACAUUUGACACUUCUCAAACAUGCCAGAUACUUCAUAGAAAUAUCCAAUUGUUUAAAUAAUUACUUAGGAAAUCAUACACUAGGAAAUACUUUUACAUACCAAAGAUAAUAACUUUGUUCCUCUUGAAUAUAAUCUUCCAAUAACGGACAAGAUGGAUAUAUGACCUGAGAUGCAUUGUAUAAUGUCAUUCAUGUUGAGAAUUAUAUUAUAAGCAAUAAAACUGACGAAUUUGCCUUCUCAUGGGACGAUUCUUAGCUCCUUUGAUGUUUGUUUGAGCAUUGUGUCAGUAAAUAACUUCUUUCACUGCAACCCUUGCUAUCAUACAUAUUCUCACCCUCAAAACAAGCAACAACACUUGAAAAUAUUUAUUAUACAACCGAGUACCACAUUCGAAGGACCCAAUUUUCAUUUUAUCAGGUUCUCAAAACAAACCAAGAGAAAAAGAAAGAUCAAACAUAAUAUAUUCUCAUUCAUGUAUUUGUGUCAUAUUAUAUCCUACUUUUCAAGAUUUUACAUACUAAUUUUCUAUAUAUUAUGACAAAUAGGUAUUACAUAUUCUUAUACAUGAUUCAUACAUACACUACUGCUUUCCCUUUAUCUUAGAUAUCUUAAUGAAAAAUUUUUAUCACAACCAAGUUGGUAUUCUAUAAAAGUGCUAGUUGAGGAUGAGAUUAAUUUAGCUUCAAAAAAAUCACAGCUGAUGAUAGUUCUUUUCUGAGACAUCCCAAAGCUCGUCCUAUCAUUCAGCUUAUGGAGGGGUAUCAUUAUUUUCUUACUGCUUGUAACCAACUAGAGCAUAAACAUACAUUCAAACUCUACCUAGAUCUUCCUUCAGGACUACAAUCAUUAGAGAACAUACUCAGGUCAGUUACUUUUUGUCCAAUGGACUUGCUAGGUAUUCUAUUAUGACAUCUGUAAAUGACUCCAAUGCUCCUGAUUUCCAUUCCUCCCACAGUAGAUUUAACCAUGAUAUCAAUUACUUCGCAGAAAUGGAUCAGAUCAAUCCGGCAAGGGUAGAAUUUGAUUUUAAACUAUAGUCAGUUUUCCCCUUUCCACUAGCCAGAGGAAUCUUAAUCAACUGCCCCAUCAAAGAGAAACUAGAUUCUCGACUUUUAAUAAUGUGCUGUAACGAAGCCAAGGAUUCUAGAUGUAGUGAAUAUGACAUUUUCUAAGUGAAAAUUAUUUAAAUAAUGUAUCCUUCACCUGAUAAAUUCUUUCUCUUUUAGUUAUUUAGCUUAAUAAUGGACAACCUUCUGCUUCCAAAUCCAACAAGUCAGAAAAAGUAAACCUACAAUAUUCAACAUGAAGGGCUUUCUUUCUCUGGAAGCCAUGGAAACACAAAAGAAAAUAUUUGAAUCACUCAUCUUCUCAGGUAAAAAUGAUCUUCUUAUCAUAAAUACUUAAUAUGAUGCCCUCUUCUAAUAAACUACAGCUAGUUCUCUUGUAAAGGAGUGGUCAUAUUAAAUGGGGUUAUAUUACCGUUUAGUAGUGCUCUAAGUAUGCUAUGAAAUAUGCACAUUAUGGAUAACUAACUUAAUAUCAUAAACAGUAAAACUGCAUAAUUCUCAGCACCCAAAGAACCUACUAUUUUUAAGAAAACAAUAAGAUGAGAUUAUUGUGAAAUGCAAGGAUUGAAAGGAUACACAUUUCCUGUCUUGUCCAUGUCAAGUGAGGUGGGAAAACAUAUAGAAAAAGUAAAGACUAGCAAUUCUCUUUUCAACAGCCCCUAUUGAGUUUAAACUGCUAAUCAUAGACAUCAUCGCUUUUACUUAAAUCGUUAUGUCUUCCAUUUUCUCCAAUCCACCAGAACAAUUCAACUACUUAUAAACUUCAUAGGAACCCAUAUCCUAUCAACAUUGCAAUAGAUGCACAUCAAUAUAUAAACUUAUACCUGACAGUACUACUAAACAUCCUUGGAUAAAGUAUAAAUCAAGAGUUAAGAACUUGCAAUUGACAAAGAAAUAGAAUGGACAUGCAUCACCCUCUCUUCUUUUUCCCCCCUGAUUUUUCAGUAUUUUGAUAGCUUUUUUCUGAUUGGUAUAGGUCAGCACACCAUCAGAAUGCUGAUAGCGUACCAAUCUGACAACAGGCUGAUACAGUUCCAGUAACAAAAUUAAAAAAACACACUGUAAAUAAUGUAAAAAUAUAGAUAUAAAAUUUGGAAACUUAAGGCAAAACUACAUAAAAUAUGUAGGAUGUGUUGAUGUUUCAAAAAGAAUAAAAUACAUAAAAUAGAUGUGAAUAAGUUAUGGAGUCUUAUUGUAAAUUUAAAGGCCAAUGAAAAAUGAGCCAAUAAAAAGAAUAAUAGGUUGCAUCUGCUAAAGUUAAGGAUCUAAUUUGUGCCUUCCCUUGAUGUACAAACUUCCCCUUCUACUCAGAUCCAGUCUGUAGCUUUUACGGAAAAGUAUUUCUACAAUUGCAUAAAUAAACUGCAACAAAUAUCUUAAUCAUUCUACACUCCAGAUGGAUUUGGAUGAUUUGUUCCAGUUGUCUAGAUUGAAUUGUUGACAGAACUUUUUAUAGUCAACCUUAUAUUUGCCAGAAUCAGCCAGAAGCAACCAGAAAUGACACUCUAAUGGUUGAAAACCAGCCUAAUAAGCCAAAAUUGAUCAAAACCACCAGAAUGAUCAAACACAUGAGACCAGCAAAACAAUACUUGUACAUGAUAAAGAACGGUACUAUCCUUUUCCUUUGAAUAAAAAUACAAAAGAAAAAAAAAGUUUACUUUUCUCAAAGGAACAUAUUUGAAAAGAAAAGGAUGUUAACCCUCACAUCAAGGUUUCAAAUGCUGGUCAGAAUGGUCAUACCAAACAGCGUCAAGAAUAAUACCGAGUGAUACAAAUCAGUAUAUUGACCAAUUAACUGGUAUCAUAUUGAUCCGACUGACUGAAAUUGGUACAAGACCAAGAGUUAAUCCUUGCCUAAGGCCAUACAAGAUAUUAGAUCUUCUCUUUUGUACACUUUAAUAGAUAAAUUAUUGAAUGUUCAACUGUGUCUUAAUUUGGUCCUUUUGCAUAAAAGUAAGUAUAGCAUUUGCUCUAGUUAAUCUCAGUUUCAAUAGGAUGAACUGGAGACUAUCUGACAAAAAUAAGAAUCAUGCAUCAUUAUAUCAAUAACCCUCUGAUCAGGGACCCUAAAAGAAUUUUCUUAAUGCUAACUUGUAAAGGAGCUUUAUUUCUCAUACUUCAGAAAUAGGAGCUUUAUUUCUGAGACUUCAGAAAAACAAAAAAGUACCCACCACAACCAUCAAAUUCAAAUUAAGAUUGGAACAUUGUGAUUAAAUAGGACAGGACAUUGGGAUAGAAAGGAAAACCCACCAAACAAACUUUUUAGAAAAAGGAAAACAAACCCUAAAUACAUUGCAUCCAUUUAGCAUCCAUUUCUGAAAGUUCAUCAUAAUGUCUUCUAAAAAGCUAUUCCAUUACAACCGACUGACAUAACUUCCAGAGGCCAUGUCAGUGUACAACAAAAAAUGCCAAAAGCUACAGUCCAAAGAUCAGAAUCACCUAAAGUCCACCUUAAAUGUAAAAUUGAAAUGAGGUAUAUGAAAAUAAACAAUGAAUAUUUGAAGUUGCACACCUUAGCACCCAAAUUUUGUACAUCACAUCAAAUGUAUAACUGCCUUUACAGAAUAUAUUUCCUAUGUCAGAAGCACCACAACAUCAUAAUUUGAAUGUUUGUGUUUUCUGAAUUCACCACAAGCUUCAUCAUGCAGCACAUGUCAUGGUGUACUAUAUUGAAACUUAAAUCUAAACUCUUAUCCUACUUUACAUUUCUGCAAGAAUGAAAAAUAAGAACUACCUUAUAAUCAAAUUCAAUGAUAUGAAACAUUUCUAAUCUUAUGUGGGAAAUAUUUAUCUAAGAGCUCUUUAGUAAGGUCAGUCAUGAAGCUUAAAAACAGAUCCUUCUCAUUAGGGAACUCAAGCACCAAGAAACAUGAUAAAGAAUCAAUAUAUACAUAGUCUAAAAUAAAGAAACCAUAUCUUGCCAAGAAUCAAGGAAGUGAUCAUACUGAUGCUUUAGGCAUUGAAGGAGUCAUUGGUAUUAGUUGCUUGCACUUUUUAAGCGUAAGUUCCUCAAUCCUCUGAGUGUCAACAGAUAACUGUACAUAAAUUAUACAAAAAAAGCACCAUGUUAAUAAAAAAACCCUCAAAAGAGAAGAAACAAUAUCUUAUCUCAUUCUAUAUAUUACCUGAGGUGUUUUAACAACUUGGGAUGCUGGCUGAGCCAAUGCCUCUGCCAUGUUUAAUCCUGUCAUGGUGCUUCCUGCUGCAGAUGCCUGACUAAUAGGAGCACCUUGUAGAAUGGGAGAGAGAACAGCUGCACUAGUUUCAACUUUUACAGGUACUUCUGCCAGAGCUGAAGUUCCAAUUAUGAUGGGAGAACCAGUGGGAAGACUCUGAACUGCAGUUCUAAGACCAAGAGGUGAUACACCAACUGCAUCUGAAAGACCUUGCCUCCCUUCAGCUCGAAGGGAUGGAAAGUCUCUCUCAAAGAAGGUUUUGCUAAUACUUCCAACAGCACUUUCUCCAGAUGGAGCACUGUUAUUUGCACUGCUUCCAACUCUUUUGGGCCAGGAGUCGACUGGCCUUCCGGCUAUCAUAGACUGGGAGCGCCUCAAGGCAUCCUUUUCAGACCUAACUCCCAGAAAUGAAUCAAGAUGGUCGAGUCCAUUGUCAACCAAAACUGACCUAUUUUUCCUAUCACAGGAAUCAAAAUCCCUCUCCUGGUUUCUAUCACGAGACCUUCGAAAACUACUGUAAGCCUGUGACUUACCAGAGCUACCUUUAUCGCGACUUACAGAACCAUUAGAGCUCAAACUCCGCCGCAAGUUCCGAUCUUGGUCUGCAAAUAAUAUAUUUCUUGAUCCAACCCCGACACCAUUUUCAUCUACGGGAAUUCAAACAUUGCAUUAGAAGAAAAGAUUGUUACAGUCAUACCAAUAAAAGAAAAUUUCAUAAAAAAUACGAUUAGAAUUAUAAUGGCUGUAGAGUAACGCAUACCGGAAUGUCUAGAAGAGCUUGUUCGCAGGGAAUUGUUGGAGGUGCUCCCAUUUGCUAAUUUGUACCACUGUGGAACCAAUGCUGGCUCACCUCGCUCCAUUGUCGGAGCAGACCAUUAUCAAUAUACAGUUAAGACCCUUUGCCUCUGGAUCCAAUUGUAAAUAACUUAUAUAUAGAGUGUUAUUUCCUGUACAAAGUAUGUUCUCAGAAGAUGCCCAUCGCACUAAUUGGCCCAAGAAAGGGUGAAGCUUGUGAUUACGCUGCCGCCAUGAUCUCUAAAUUAGCAUCAUACAAGUACAAGAUUUAAUCUGCCAAAAAGAUCUAAACUGUGCAAAACCCCUCCAGUCAAAACGCAGAAUCUGCCUGAGUUUCAACGCCUUUCUCUCCGCACAUAAUCAAGAUUUACGCGUUUGAAGCAUCCACGAUCGAAAACCAGGCGAAGACGGCUCCCCGGGAAACCGUCAAAUUAACAACUCAAAGAACGCACAUGAAGAUAAGAACCCUAAUGGCCAAGAAAGGGCAAGCAUCCAAGCAAUGAUGAAUCCCAAAAAACGACAAGCGCUCGGGAUCGAGAACGGCAAACCCUAGACACCAAACAAAGGGGUGGUCGAGGAAGCGAAAAAAAGACUCCCCACUCCAAGAUUACCGGAAAUUUGCGAUGAGCUCGAACCCUAACAGACUUCAGGUUGGUGUUGCGAGAAGUAAUCCGAUAAGAAGACAAGACAAACGGAAAAGGGCCGAGUGACAGAGAAAUCUUAUGGCGGAGAGAGAGGAAUCCAACGAACAAUAACUCGAUUCGAUCGGUUCGGCGGCGGCGGCGGCGGCGGCAAGAAGGGAGAAAUGCGUGAUCUAUGUAGGAAUUGGAGGAGGAGGAAGCGGGGAAUUGCUUGGUUUCUUCUCCUUUCGUCGUGUGUCAGUCGAAUCAAAAGAACGCUCGCUCUCGCUCGCUGUGUAUUGUGCUACGGUUUCGGUGGCUCGCUUUGCUGCAGUUGCGGUUUCCUUCGGCUUGGGAAAACCUACGAUGAUGAUGGCGAUGAUGGUGGGUAUGCGUACAUAACUUGCCUUGUGGGCUCGUUAGGGCGAGACACACCCGACGCCUUUAAUUGGAACACAGCGAAAUCAAAGAUCACGGAGGCCGUGUGGCUAAAGAAAGAUUUGAAUGUGAUUUAUCUCUUCUAUGUAAAUACUUGCACCGGGUCGAUCGAUCACGACCGUCGAUUAGGGUGCACUUCCAUGGGCCGAGUUGGGUGGGCCAAGUAAUUGGAGACGCCUGGCUUAGGAUUGGGGUUAAUUGGCCUGCACGAACCAUGAUGGAACUCCGGGGAACAUGUUGAGUUUAGUGGGCCACUGUACUUUGGGGACCAAACAUCUGCAUUAAAACUCGGCUGACCCAUUUUGAUCAUCAUUCAUAAGUUUGUCUAGUAAUAUUCAUUAAAUUUGCAACUCAUAUCCAUCAUUAUUUUCGAUCAUCAAAACUCAUAUCCAAUAUAAUAAAAUCAUCAACUUGCUCCUUUGAGUAAGUUGAUCAUCCACAUAAUCUUUUUGAAAGAAUGGGCUAAAACAGAAUAUGAGCAUAGUUUGUCAUCAUAAAAUUAUGACUCUUAUACCACAUCAUCUCAAAAAACAAUCAACUUUUUUCCAUUUUGAAACACAGCAACACUCAAAGAUCAAUCAGGUCAAAUCAUAUAUAUCACAGGAUUGACUGUAUCAACAAUACAUAACAUCACAAGAACAUUGGCUGUAUUAUUGUGAGAACACCACACUGAACAAGAUUAACAAUUGUUAUAAGUUAGACAACAAGAUCAAGAAUUCUUCUCGGAUUCCUAUAUAAUAAAUAGGAAACUACAUUGAAACACAUCAUUAGCAUAAAUAAUAUCUCUAGAUAAUCACCUGAUACAUCUUCACCAACGGAUGGGCCCCACUGCCCAGCAAAACAUAAAGGAGGAGGACAACUGUUUUCAUGAGACAUAAUUACAAUUCCAACAUAUCUCAGUCUUCAUAACCCAAUGCCUGAAGUCCAUAAAGCUAACUUCUCAGAGAAGUGCACCUUCCAGUCAUAGAUUGAAGCAAAUGGCAAUAAACCACCUGAUGCGGGAAGAACCAGCAGCAGAAGAGCAUAGAAUGUAAAUCUUCUUAUCCGAUACGGUAACUUGAUUGAAUUGGCUCCUUCCGAGAUGGACACCGGGCCAUAAAGAACAUGGUAAGAUGCAGAUGGGAACACAUUGACAAUGAAGUGGAGCAUGCACAGUGCUUCCCAAUAAAUUAGCCAGUGGUAUCCAUUUCCACCUAAUGUGUCAAUGCAUAGCUUACCAGAAAAGCCACAAAGAGCACCUAGUAGCAGAACAAUAAAUGUCACAGGCAUAGUUGUAGCUGACGUUGCGGACCGUUGGAAAACCACAAAAGCCAUUGCUAAAAUCAUUAAUAUUCCAAAAGACACACGGGCUAGGGCCACAAAUUGACAUUUCAGCACCAGCCAGCCUGAACUAAAAGAUUUCACCGUAUUUGGAAUCCACCAAGAUCUGGACUCCUGAAAAGUAACAACCAUUCCACUAAGUUUCUGAUUCAUAAAACACCAGCACACAAGUCAAGAACAUCAAAUGAGCUAGGAUGUACCUUAGGGGCAGAAGUGCAGGCAGAUGUGACCUCCGUGAUACGUUGAUAAGAGUAGACGGAUGCCCCAUAUACAAUCAAGCUGCACAUGAUAAUCAACCCAGUGAUUAGGAGAUCCAUGCAUAUUUUCAAGAGUUGUGCAUUCAUGGUCUCCUGCAUUUGAUUCCUUAAUUUCGCUUCUUUAAAGGAAGCCUUUGAGAUACCCAUUGAUAUCUUAAACUUCUCUAAGAAAUUUGCAUCAGAACUAAGAGCCAGCUGAGCUUCCUUCAGUUGCAACUUUUUCAUGACCAGACCUAUCUCAACCGCCUUGAGGUCAUUAGAGCGAGUCUGUUCAAUAACAGAUUUCUCCACUGUACUCAGAAUAGACUGACUGAACCCAAGACCAUAUGUGGUACGAUUAACAUUUGCAAGAUCCUUAUUUGUAUACCCGUGAAGAAUGAGUUGACUGUUCACAGAAUUCGAUAUUAUAUUUUCUUCCAAAUCUUCAGUGGUCACGAUGGGUUCAGAGCUGCUUAAGUCAGCUGUAUUUUCACUACUGUUGCACAGGAAUGAACUGCAAUCAGUAUUUUCUUGCUUAUUAAAAGAAACUUCGUUAAUCAAACCAAGGGUCUUCAAUGUACUCUGAAAUGACUUAUCAAAGUUUCUUAUGAAACAAUCAAACUUGUUUCCAUAUACCUGUUCAAAAUUAAGAACAGAAAGUUCACAAAUUUGAGAACUUGCAGCAAGAGAAAAUGAUAGAUUUAGAGGCAGACUUACAUUUGUUAUAGAUUCUUUCACCGCUGAAGUACAGACCUGCAGACAGCAGUAUAUCCAUAUCAGACAAUUAUAAAACCUCUGAUAAUAUGAAUCCCAGAUGUCUGAAGUGUACCAUUGAAAGGCAAUCUAUUUGUAUCCUAUCUCCUGUGAUGUUCUUUCCAUAUAAAACCUGAAACCAAGAAAUUCCAUACAUCAACGAAAUGACCACUUAAAUUAAAAAGUAGAUAUACUUAAUUUUUUAAAAAAUAACUCAAUUUUUUAACUAUUCCUGUGGCUAGCAGAUAUGCUUAAUUUCCCUAUGUUCACAACAAAUCUCUUUCCAGUUAAAGUUUUACUUGUCAUGCAAUCAGCUUGGUCGGCAGAUACAUUCUCAACCUAUAAUAAUCAUUAAACUAAUUUAGAAAACAAAAAAAAGCAUCCCAGGAUCAAUUGUCAUACAUGAACCAGAUGAUCAAAGAAGCAACAAAUUUGAUGUAAUAAAAAAAAUGUAUGACUAACAUGAAAAUCAAACUGGUACCUUUCCAUCAUCAUUAACCUUCUAGAAAAUGCAAUCAUUCUUGGUACACAAAACUUAAUGACAUUACUCAUGCAUGAGGCAUGUCAUUCUUGGUCCAAUUGAUUAGAGAUGAUAAUGAAUUCACUUCGGACUAUGGUCGACAUAAUUUCAUUAUUUUGCUGUGACUGUUGGCAGGGAAAGUAGAUGAAUCAGACUCUUUAUUGAAAUCAAUCCCAUGUGGGGGUACAGUGAGUGUCGGAAUUCGCCCGUGGUAGAACUCGUUAACAUUCAUGUGUUGAAAAUUGAUACUUAUUUUCAAAAGAUCUCUGAAACUUGGAAAAAAUUGGGCUUAUUGAUUGAAUUUUCCAAGACCUGUUUUAGCUAGUAUAAAUUUAAAAACAGAACUCAUUUGAGCUAUAAAUGGAACCUCUCCAUCCAGUAGGCAUUCCUCCUCCCACCCGUAGCAAUUACAAGUGGAUUCACCAGUGGGGCUUUUCUGGUCAGAAGGUAGCUGACAGAUGGAAAUUUGGGGUCAGCAAUUGGGGCUCAACUUUCCUUCCCAUCUGCCUCUGCCACUGCUCCAUCUCUAAACAUGGAGCUCUCUUAGAGCCCCACCCACCCAGCUCCUGCCACUUCUUCAUCU